AAUUGACUGCAGAGUACGGCGAGGGUCGCGCUGUCUCAACUCUUGGAGAUGUUUACAGCCUCGGCAUACUGUUGCUUGAGAUGUUCACCGGGAUGAGCCCUACUGACGACAUGUUCAAAGGCUCCUUGGACCUUCAUAAGUUCGCCGAGGCCGCUCUCCCCGACAGAGCCUUGGAGGUAGCCGACCCGGCAAUCUGGUUUCAUGAAGAAGCAAAGGGGGAAAACCCUGCCACGGUGAGAAGCAGAAGCGAGAGGUGCUUGGCUUCAGUGAUCGGGCUUGGCGUGUCCUGCUCAAAGCAGCUGCCAAGGGAGCGGACGGCGAUGCGGGAUGCUGCCGCUGAGAUGCGUGCGAUCAGAGAUGCCUUCCUGGUUCAAUGUGCAACAGAGACUUGGCCUGCAGUCGGCACCACCGGCCUUGGAAGCGCAGACAGUUGAAUGGUGGACGGAGCUACGGUCUCUUGACGCACCAAGGAGCACUGGACUAGCAACUCUGCAACUAAACAGAGUGGAGAAAGAGCCCCUUAAUGAACAGAAAAACAGCCGGUGCAAGGCUUUAUACAAAGAAUGUGACAGCCACUGCGUGUAUCCGAGAGCCUUAUCUAAUCUACCAAGGAUUGUCCAUGUACUCCCUCCGUCCCAAAAUAAACACACAUGUCACUUGUCGAGGAGUCAAACUUUCUAAGUUUGACUAAAAUAAUGUACUACUAUUUAUAAUGUAUAAUAAGUAUCAUUAGAUUGAGUAUUGAGUAUACUUUUCUAAUACAUUUAUUUGAAGAUAUAAAUGUUGAUAUUAUUUUCUAUAUUCUUAAUCAAACUUAAAAACGUUUGACUCUCGAGAAGUGAGAUGUGCGUUUAUUUUAGGAUGGAGGGAGUACCCGUCACACGGAUUAGUUAUGAUAUAAGUAGGGACUAGCAAGCACCAAAACCCCAUUCACUGCCCAUGGAUCGCUCAAAUAAAAGAAACCAUUGCAUAUGGUGGUGAUGCGCUGGCGAGCCUUUCUCCAAACUUUCUGCUCUCGCGGACCUUGAACUCGCAUGGAACAAUUUUAGUGGAAGCGUGCCUCCACCUUUAUGGAGAUUGCGAAGCCUCAUUUACCUGUCCGUGGCAAUAAGCUAGGAUUGAAUGACAAGGACGGAUUGGAAUUCAUCACCAUGCUGGCAAACUGCAGUCAGCUUCAGCAACUGGCUUUUGACAAUAAUUCAUUCAUCGGGGAACUUCCUAGCUCAAUUGCAAAUCUAUGGACAACACUCCAAUUACUCUAUAUAGGAAACAAUUGGAUUUCGGGAUUUAUUCCAUCCAGCAUAGGUAAUUUGGUUGGUCUAGAACUGCUUACGUUGGCAAAUACUUUCAUAUCCGGAGUGAUUCCAGAUAGCAUUGGUCGCCUAGAAGGCAUGUCCGUGUUAGGCAUUUACUACACUAGCUUGUCAGGCAUCAUACCUUCAUCACAAGGAAACCUUACACAGUUGAAAGCUCUCUAUGCGUACGAUAGAAACUUGGAGGGUCCAAUUCCAGCAAGCUUGGAGAACUUAAAGAAUCUUUUUGUCCUUGAUCUCUCAACGAAAGUGUGUAACCUGCUAAGAUUUCAUGUCGAAGUAGAGCAUAAACCUCUCUCAAAAGACUGCGAAGCUACCAUAGAGUAGAUCAGUCUAAGGGUCGGACUAUACCCUAUCAACGCCUCCCCUCUUGCCCUUUCGAUAAGAUUACCCCAAAGGUCCAAACUAGAGUCUUUAAUUAAUUAACCAAGACCAAAGCCAUAUAGUUCUUGUGGUUGUACUAUUUUCCUGGGUGGUCGCUCCAUGUUCCAAUUAAGCAUGGCGGUCUUGUAUUAAUAAAAGGUAUAUCAUAAAUAAAACAAGUUUAAUCAUUGAGUUCAUUAAAACCAUCAUAACCCAAGGUAUUGCAACUAAGCAUAUCUACCCAAUAAAAAGGUAAAACCCAGGUUGACAAGGAAUGAUCAUAAAAACUAGGUCAAUAUUAAAUGCAGAGCAGUGUAGAAGUGAUUAAAUAUAGUUAUUGGUACAAAAACACAAACAAGGACACACUUGCCUUUCUCCAAAGAAUAGCUGCUCAGAUUAUCUUCAGCUCUUGUUCCUCAAAGCUCUCGAACAACGUUCCUUCUACUCGCAUCAAUCAUCGGCACAAGUAUACAAAGCAAACAACAAUCACAACUAAGAACAAUACAUCAAUCAUAGGAAAGCUUUAAAAGAGCGUACUAAAGGAUAAGGCUCGAAUCUAAGGUCACACGAAUGCAAGAAACGCUAGGAACGAAACUAUGGUUGAAAAGACAAAGCUAUCGAGAGAUUUGAAUUAUAAAAGAAAGAAAAGCCUAUGUGCUUCAUAUAUUUUAAUAAUGAAAAUAAUGUAAAGAUAUUUUAGAGAGACAUCCUUAGCAAGUUAUAUUUAUAUAUGAAAAGACGAUGUAGAAUAGUCAAAUUUUCUUUAUAAACAUUCAAGUACAAUUUAUGCAAAUUAAAUAUUUAAUUUGAAAAUAAAGUAUAUGUAAACAUCUAAGCGCAUAGCUUUAUGGUUAUGGUUCGGGUUGAACUAACCAAAUAUAAUUCAAAAACACAAUUAUUUUUAUAUUAGUCAAAUUAACAUAUAAUUAUGAAAACUCGAGAUAUAACUUAUGUAGCUUUUAUUUAGAAAACAAAUUGAAUAAAUAUUAAUCAAUUUAAGUUUAAUUAUGAACCACCGUGGUGCAUCUCUAAUUCGCUUUUAAUUGAAAGAGUUGUUUAAUUAAGCAUUAACUAAAUUAACAUUUAUUAUGAAAAGCGGUUAUAACACUAAGUAGCUUUUAAUUAAAGAAGACAUGUUUAACAUGCAUUAAUUAUAUUAAUAUUAAAUUAAUUUUAAAAACAUGCAUGAUGGAAGGAUCACUACUAACAUGUAAUUUGUGUUAUCACGAACCUAACUCAACAAGAACGGAUAUAAACGAAGCUGUAAUGAGGAGCCUAUGGGUUAAACAAGGUCGUAGGGCCUAAUCACGAUUAACGGAAGGUUAUUGGGGUUAGCAAGGAAGAUUUGCAAGACACUAUAAUAGAGCUCGCCAUUAGGUCAAAGCAUAGGGUUAGAUCUAUUAAAGUGCUCAGGUUGGACUUGGUUGCACGGAUCCAAUCUAAUGAGGGACAUGGAUGAAAAAAACAAGACACAAGGAAAAACUAACUAUUUACAAAGCUUUCCGGGGCCUAUGCGCAAAAGCACCACAACUCAGCAUCCAUGGCGGACGGGCUCCUGGAUGGCAAAAUCCUCGUGUCGGAUUUAUAAGCCCACAGUCCACCAAGGGGUUACCCAAGUCGUUGAUUGUGGCGGAACCGCCCAAAUUAACCUGACUAAAAUGCAUUGAAGUCGCCUGACACGCGAUUAUGCACUUUAAGCAAGUCAACUUGGUCGACCGUCGGAUUUCCUCCGAUAAACCACAUAAACAGGAUCGAGAAGCAUCGCUCACGCGAAGGUGAGUAGCACAGAGGUUACAACAAUCCAUCAUGACAACAUAGUUCAACAAUUUAUUACAUCAGAGUUUUUGAAAUUCAAACCGAAAUUUGCAUGGUUCGAAGUCAAAGGAAAACAGCGGAAACUAAACGUCGAUACAUGACAUCACGACGGAGCCGAUCAUGACAUCAAAAAUUUCUUCCUUCGCCAUCCGAGGAAGGAUCCCACUCGACGGUCCAGCCUGGAGGAAGCUGGGUCGGCCAAGUGGUACCAACACCCAAACUAUUGACAUUACCUGAAAAAGAUUAGCCACAACAAGGCUGAGCAACUAGUACUCAGCAAGACUGACCCGUCGGAAAGACACGACCGAGACCUAGACAUGCAAGGCUUUCUGGCUCUGGGGUUUUCUUUGCCAAAAGCGUCUAAAGUCAGUCCUUAUUUUCAACAUUUUAGCUCAUGUUCUAUGUUCUUUAUCCAUUCUAGAUUAGCAACUUAUACUAAACAAACAUGGUUUCCAAGCAAUUACUUAACAAGCAUCAAGAUUAAAAUCAUCAUCAUCAUGUUCCAUCUUUACUCAGUGCAGAAUAGCGAUCAAGUAGUCCCAAUCUGUGAGAGGCAGACGAAUCGAUUCGAAUUUAUUAACCAUGCAUGGCAAACCUAAUCUCACGACAUCCGCGCACCACGAAGGGUCGCUUCAUUUGUCAGCCGUCCCCAUCGAUCCCUUAGGCACGUGUCAGGGCCAACUUCCUUUGGCAUGCAAUGCUCCACAGUCCUGGCCUAUUGCUGCACUGUGACCGCACUUGCACCCACAUGAUGCACCAUGGGAACGACGUUCCAAGGACAGCCGGAGGGUAUGCCACGCCCCAGUUCAAUCAGGUACUAGGCUUCCCCAUCCCAUACUAGGUAUGAGAUUAGUACUUUCAAACACUUGAUCACGAACGCCGACACGUUUCGACCAUAGUUCAUUUUCAUUUAGACAGACGGGGCAAUCCACCAAGUAUCGAACACAAGCCUGACCCCGUCCGUCGUCCUUAUAGUUGCGACAUAUCUGAAAUAUUCAACUCCUAUAACUCGCGAGUGACAGGAGAUCACUCGACUUUUACCGAAACCUAUUAAGCAAUGCAACUACUCGGCAAGGUCUUCUUCCGGCGCCGGGUGAAGCUCGUACGUUCCGUCGGCGAGAUUCAACUCUACACGAAAAUGCAAUGCUGGGGUUAGACAUUUUAGAUGGUUAUUUCAACACACUCAUGUUUUAACACGGACACUUUGCUACAGGAAAGGUGGGGGAGUUCAACUUCUGUUGGUGGAGAACAGGAUGAGAGGGUCGGAUUGGGGGAAACUUAGGGUCUGACCCUCAGGUUUAAGGAAAAACCGUACCGAGGUCGUCAGACUCAACACAGAGGAAUCCCCAAAAUUAUUUCAUCGUACCCUCGGGUCAAAGAAAAAGUUACAACCGAGCCCUCGGGCGAGGCGGAGAAAGGGUCGGCGAAACUUGGCAGGGUCGGGCGAGGCGAAAGGAAAAAGGUCGGGCGAGAUGAAAAGAAAAGGGGUCGGGCGAACCGAAACAAAGGGGUCGGGCGAAACGAAAAGGAAGGGGUCGGUCGAGAGGGAACACAAGGGGUCGGUCGAGACGGAACACAAGGGGUUGGUCGCUUACCUCCAGGUCUACCGGUGAAGCCUUGGGGCCGAACAGGAGUAGGCUGGGGUGGGAAGUCGUACACGCUAAGUCUUGGGCAACGGCGAGUCUUCGACGGUGGUCAGGUGGCGGUGGUGCUUCUUGCGGACACCAGCAAGCUCGAGUACCGUGCGGAGGAGCGGGCGGCUGGUCUGUUGGGAGAAACGGCUUGAGGGUGGCGGCGAAGUCGCCGAAGUGUGGGGGUGGUGUAAAAGGGGUGAGCUCCACGGAAGCUCAGCGGCGGCGCGGGGAGAAAGCGGCGGCGCAGGUGCGGGCGGUGGCAAGGGGUGGCAUUGCCGGUGAGGGGGGUUCCCUUUUAUAGGGUCGGGGUGGCGCGGAGGGUCGAGGCGGGGCUUCGGUGGGGAAAGGAUAAGGCCGGGAGCGGCGAGUGCGCGGACAAGGCGGCCAUUGGCCAGCAACGCCAUUGGGCAGAGGAGGUGGAGCUCCGGGUGGUCUUCGGCGGCGAUUGGCCUUGGGCGACGCCCGUCUGGGGCUUCCGGUCUGUCGGGCGGGCGAGGCGGAGAGCUACCGUGGGGGUUGGGCGAACGGGCGGAGGCGCGGGAUGUCGGGGGCGUGUCAGCUUUCUCGGCGGACGGGCGGAACAGGGUUGGCGGAGCAGAGCCGUGGCAGGCGGAAGGCGGCACGCGCGCAGCCGGCGGUUGGCUGGCCCGGCGUUCGCUCCGUCCUGUCGCAGGCGCGGGUUGGGCGCCGUGGCUCUCGUCCUGUCGCUGUCGUGCUGGGGAUAGGGCGCCGGCGAGCUGCCGGUGGCCGGCGGCCACGUGGCGCGCGGUGCGCGAGCGAACAUGCUCGGGCGUGCGGGCGUCGAGGCUCCCUUCGGGCAGCAAGCCCGACCAGCUUUGGAGUGAUCCUUCCUCCGAAUCUUUCAACACAACUUCCGAAACUCCCUUAAACAAACUUGCUCAACUCUGAUUGUUCUUCAAACUUUGUUUAAGGUGCUGGUUUAGAUUGUGAAAGGAUUCAAAGAUAUUUCCGGCCAAGUUAGCCAAAAAUCUGGGAUUCCAGACUUAGGAUUUAAGGCAUCCGGGGUGAGUUGACUGGUUUACCUCACUUUGACCGGGAUUUUGAACAAGUUCGGGUCCGAUUUGGAUCUGGGUCAGAGUAACAAAGUUGGAAUACACUCGAGGUACUACAACUUUCAUUAAGGCUCUGACUUGGGUUUAGAUAGGAAAACGGGAUAUGAAAGCUUGUAAAGAUGGAGGAAAACUCGAAUUCCAGGACUUAAGAGAUUUUCAGGGUCCUUUAGAAAAACCGGCUUUGGUUGCUGUUUUUGACUUCCUUCCACUCCGAAUUGGUCAAAGUGCUUUUAACAAAAGUUGUUGGAAUUAAAAAGUUUUACAACUCUUAUUUGGGCAGAAACUUAAGUUUGUAUAUAAUAUUUCAAGAUUUAAAUCAAACUCCAAAAGGAGCUUCUUAGGUUUAUAAAGGUCAUUUCACUUCUUAAAUUAGGGAUUUAUCACUGGUUUAGAGUUAAAAGUACUUAAUUUAGGUAGAGUUGUUACAGCCUACCCCCCUUAAAGGAAUCUUGCCCCGAGAUUCAAGUGCAGAAGGAACUAGUGUGGUUGGUGCAAUGUACCUCCUUGCUCGAAAAGAAAACCGCGGAAGUUAGCGUUGAGGUACUCUUCCGUCUCCCAGGUCGCUUCAUCUUCCGUAUGGUUACUCUACUGAAUUUUGUACAUCUUGACCAUUUGCCGACGAGUAUGUCUUUCCUUGCGGUCGAGGAUCUUAACAGGAUACUCCUUAUAUGAUAAAUCGGGUUCGAUCUCCAAUUCUUCCGGGGGAAUGAUUUCAGUUGGAAUCCUGAUGCACUUCUUAAGUUGCGAGACAUGGAAAACAUCAGGUAUUGCUACAAUCUUCUCUGGAAGUUUAACUCGGUACGCUAUGGGUCCACACGCCUCUACGAUCUCAUAGGGACCAAUAUAGCGCGGAGCUAACUUUCCCUUUACUCCAAAACGUUGUACACCUUUGGUCGGUGAAACCCGUAGGUAUACAAAAUCCCCAACCUUAAAUUGGAUGGGUCUUCUUCUUUGAUCGGAAUAGCUCUUGUGUCGAGAUUGGGCGGCCUUGAGAUUUUCGCGGAUGACUCUCACUUUUUCUUCGGCCUCUAUGACCAGGUCAGGUCCAUACACCGUUCGCUCUCCGGGUUGCGACCAGCUCAGUGGGGUCCGGCAUCUACGUCCAUACAAGGCCUCGAAAGGUGCCAUUUUCAGGCUAGCUUGGUAACUGUUGUUGUAGGAGAAUUCCGCUAAUGGCAAAUACCCCAGUUCUUGUCAUAAUGAAUAACACAGGCGCGUAACAUAUCUUCCAAAAUCUGAUUAACCCUUUCAGUUUGCCCGUUGGUCUGAGGAUGAUAUGUGGAACUACGGAUCAAUUGAGUGCCAAGUGAAAACUGCAACUGCUCCCAAAAGCGUGCUACAAACUGACUACCUCGAUCAGAGAUGAUCAUUUUAGGUACUCCAUGCAAGGAAACAAUCCGAUCAAGGUACAAUUCUGCAUAUUUCUGUAUGGUGUGGGUGGUGUGUACUGGAAGGAAAUGUGCCGUUUUGGUUAGUCGGUCUACUAUAACCCAUAUGGAGUCAUGCUUGCGGGGGGUAUUGGGUAGUCCGACUAUAAAGUCCAUGCUUAUGUCUUCCCAUUUCCACGAGGGAAUAGGCAGCGGCUGCAAGGGGCCAGCUACCCUCAAGUGGCUUGCCUUGACUCGCUGACAGGUAUCACACUCUGAAACAUAGCGUGCAAUGUCGGGUUUCAUCCCACUCCACCAGAAAUUUUGUCGGAGGUCGUGAUACAUCUUGGUAUUGCCGGGGUGAAUCGAGAACUUGGAUAGGUGUGCUUCGUGCAGAAUUUGUCUCUUAAGCUCGGGAUCAUUUGGAACUACAAGUCGAGCUUCAUAAUGUACCACUCCUUUCCAGCCCUGUCGGAAACGUUUAUAUCCCUCAUCCUUCUGUGCAAGUUUCCCUUUGAUAAUGUUUAUCUCUUUGUCCUCUAGCUGUGCUAGAAUGAUUUGGUCAAGUAGGGUGGGCUCUAGAGAAAUAUGACUUAAGGUGUCGUGUGGAACAAUUUCCAAGUUGAGUCUAGCCAUUUCGUGACACAGGGUCUCGGCAUAAUUACUCGCCGAUAAGCAGUUACAAUGGAUCUUGCGGCUAAGGGCAUCUGCAACUAUGUUGGCUUUUCCUAGGUGAUAAUGCACUUCUAGGUCAUAAUCCUUGAUUAAUUCUAGCCAUCACCGCUGAUGCAUGUUGAGGUCUUCUUGAGUGAAUAUAUACUUAAGGCUCUUGUGAUCUGUAUAGAUGUUGCAUCGGGUUCCCAUGAGUUAAUGCCUCCAUAUUUUCAGAGCAUGAACGACUGCCGCUAACUCAAGAUCAUGAGUAGGGUAAUUCAACUCAUGUGGUCGUAAUGCUCGCGAGGCAUAGGCAAUGACUCGGCUGUCUUGCAUAAGAACACAACCAAGUCCAGUGCCAGAGGCAUCGCAAUACACAUCAAAUGGCCUAGUGGUGUCGAAAACUUCGAAUCUGAUGAACUGAAGUGGGCGGCUUCCAGUCCAUUACUUCUUGCACCUUGCUUGGGUCUACUGCUAUACCGUCUCUGGAUAUGGUGUGUCCCAAGAAUUUAACACUGUCCAGCCAAAAGUCACACUUAGAGAAUUUGGCAUAGAGUUGGUGGUCUCUUAAGCGUUGGAGUAAAGUAUGUAGGUGCUCUGCAUGUUUUUCUUCAUUCUUCGAGUACACCAAGAUGUCGUCAAUGAAUACCACGACGAAUUUGUCGAGUUCGGGCAUAAACACCGAAUUCAUGAGGUACAUGAAAUAAGCCGGUGCAUUAGUAAGCCCAAAUGACAUGACUAAGUACUCGUAGAGUCCAUAUCGUGUAGAAAAGGCAGUCUUUGGAAUGUCGCACGGGCGGAUCUUGAUUUGAUGGUAGCCAGAACGGAGGUCAAUUUUGGAAAACACUCUAGCUCCAGCUAAUUGGUCGAACAGAACAUCAAUGCGGGGUAGUGGGUACUUAUUCUUUAUCGUCACCGCAUUGAAAGGUCGGUAGUCCACACACAUACGCAGACUAUCGUCCUUCUUUUUCACAAACAAGGCAGGGCAACCCCAAGGUGAUGUACUUGGGCGAAUAAAACCCUUUUCCAACAAAACAUGCAACUGAGUUUUCAUUUCUGCUAGUUCGGCUGGUGGCAUCCGGUAUGGUCUCUUUGAAAUUGGGGCGGUACCUGGUUGCAACUCAAUGGCAAACUCGAUGUCUCUCUCAGGCGGCAUACCCGGCAAAUCGUCUGGAAACACAUCCGGGUACUCGCACACUACUGGGAUAUCUUCCAAUCGGGCUUUAGACACGGGAUAGGCACAAGAAGUUUGGCACUCUCGGGGAGGUAAGUGUAUAGUCGAGCUACCAUACUUGGGUGAAUUUAUAUGGAUUGCCCUGGCAGGGAUAUCUAGGGUCACUUGGUGUCGGGUCAUCCAAUCCAUACGCAAGAUAACAUCUAUUCCUUCUAUCCCAAGGGUAAGCAGAUCUUCCUUAAGAAGGGUCCUCCCUAACUGGAUAGGUACUCUGCAGCUUACUUGGUGUGAAGUUACCUUUCCACCCGGGGUAGAGAUUAUGUAGGUACCUUUGGUGUGACAGAAAUCUAACCCACACUUAGCACUGAUUCUAGUCCCAAUGAAACUAUGAGAUGCUCCCGAAUCAAACAGAAUAAGGACGGGUUGAUCACAGAUAGAAAAGGUACUCGUCAUCACUGGUGCGCCCUCUGGAAGUUCAGCAAGGGUGGUGAAGUUCAGCCUGCCUUGUCGGACCUGCACCUUUGGCUUCUUCCCCUUGUUGCCCAGUGUAUGGCUCUGACUGGGUCGUUGAUUCUGGUUGCGGGGGCAGUCCUUGGCGAAGUGUCCUGGGUUCCCGCAAGUGAAACAGCGGUUUCCAGUGACCGGGCGCAGCGGCAUCGGGAGAGCAGGGCGGGGUCCUUGCGGCUGGAAUCCGGGGAAACGAGGUGCUGCCUGCGGUGGAGGUCGAGCAACCCAUCUCCCAGGCUGUGCGGGCGUGCGAGGUGCUUGUGGGGAAACCAUUCUGUACUUCUGGGCAGGCGGGCUGGGUGCCGGCAUUGGGGCCUUCCUUUUCAUGUCGGCCUUGAGGGCCCUCAUGCAAUCUUCCUGGGAAAUGGCCAGGUUCACCAGUUCAUUGUAGGAACCCACUUUGAUGGGAUUCAGCCUUUCCUUGAGCUUCAAACUCAAGCCUCUGCGGAAACGGUCCCUCUUUUUCUCAUCGGAGUCCGCAUGGUAGCCUGCAUAGCGACACAGGUCAUUGAAAGCCUGCGCAUAGUGCAGACAUCGCGGCCUCCCUGGGUGAGAGCCAGGAACUCGUUGAGCUUGCGCUCCAGAAGACCUUCAGGGAUGUGAUGGCCCCUGAACGCCGUCUUGAAUUCCUCCCAACCGACGACGUGGUCGGCCGGCUGCAUGGCAUGGUAGUGAUCCCACCACAGGAGAGCAGAACCACGCAACUACUGCGCGGCGAACCGAACCUUGUUCUCGUCCGGGCAGUAGGCGGUGAGAAGGGAGAACUUGGACUCGAUAGUGCGAAUCCAGGCAUCGGCGUCAAGUGGGUCCUCCGUCUUGUGAAAUAGAGGAGGCUGGGUCCCCAGAAAAUCUUCGUAACGAGCAACAUGGGGCUGUUGAUGGGCCCUUCCUCCCUGAGGCUGCUGCUGCUGCUGCCCCUGAGCGAUGUGCCUCAACAGCUCGGUCUGGGCUGCCAAGAUCGACUCGAGGGUGGUCGGAGGCGGAGGUGGGGGAGGCACCUCGCUGCCACUGGGAACGGAGCCGGAGCGUGUGCGAUGCGCCAUCCUUGGGCGAGCCAAAACCUUAUCCCCGGGGUCUCACUAAUUCCGACCUCUGGUGCCGGGGUCGGGCGAAACGGAGCUUCUCAACACGGGAUCGGACAAAACGGAGCCUUUCAUCCCGGGGUCGGGCGAGGCGGAGACCUGCCGCGAGGGGUCGGGCGCGUCCGACCUCGCGACUCGGGGUCGGUCAACUUUGGACAGGCCCACAGGAGACGGGUGUGUGGUCACAGCACCAAAACCCACACAACUUGGCAUUCACGGCGCGUCGCAAAGGGUCAAAAGUCGAGUCAAGAGUGAAAGAAAAACAGGAACUGCUUUCACCAAGAUCAUUUCAUUGCUGGUCUUAAAAUAUAGGAGGAGUACUCAACUCAAGGCUAACCUAUUACAUCAUUGGCCAAAAAUAUAGGUCGUCGAGGAGUACAAUCAAAAAUAAAAUAGAACCGCUCAACCUAGUUUGUUAUAACUAGAAGUCGUCGAGGUUGCCCACGGAGGCAAAGCUAAGGACCGGAGAGUGAGCAUCACCAACUGGAGGCUGCGGUGAGGCAUUCUCAUAGUCCAUGCUUGAAAAGCCUUCGAUCUCCUCAGGCUCCUCCUCCUGGGCCAUCGGCUCAUCCAGCUGCACCUCUAAGGCGUGGAUGGCAUUAAGCUCAUCGUGAUGCUCCUGCAGGUGCUCAUUGGCGUUCGCCAGCUCCAUGUUCACAUCAUAGAACUGGUCAGCCAAGAUCUCCAUAUCGUGAUCCAUAUCCACAAUCUCUUCCUCCAAACGAGUAAUCUUGUCCUGCAUCUCAGCAAUCUGAACAUCCUUCUGUACCAGCUCGAGCGACUGGUCCACCAUGCCACUCUGCACGGUAGACAAGGCAACCUGGUUGGCCACUGCCAUCCCAAUCACCAUAGCCAUCGCUCGGCUCUGCAGCUCAACCAUCCUGUAGAACACAUUCAGGCAACGAGCUGAAACAAAAAUCGUGCACUGAGGAUCCAUAAGCCCGAGCAAGUCCAUAUGCUCCAUACGAUCCAACCAGUCCGGGUCCCUCGUACCCCGGGCAGGGAACAACCCAAUCGGGUCUAGCAUGAUCUCAAGAGGGUGUGCCCAGCAAAACUGGGUCAAGGUCUGCAAGGCUGCGAACUCCCAGGCGUCGUGGAGCGUGUGUCCCUCAGCCACUACCUCCAACAGCGACAACGGUGGCUGAUCCGGAGGCGGGGGUACCCGCACGUGUAUGCGGCUCCGCGGAAUCCCGUGGUCCUGGUACGCACGGCCCGCAUAAACCGGCGGCGACUGGUACCCGAAAGAGCGCAGGGUGUCCCACAACACAGUUGGAAAACCCUCGUAGUGAAGGCACCGUGAGUAGGUGGUGCCCUCCGUACCGACUGCCACGUGCACGGGCUGCGCCAUCUGUAACCAAGGGUCACGUGAGAAAUGGGGUUAACACUUGGAAAUCAAACAGAUUUCUGGCAGUUAGAGAAAAGCUCAUAACUCAGCAAGUAUUCCUCCAAAAUUUCUCAAAUUUUACCAGCAUGUUCUUUAGAUAGUGGGUAACAAGUUUGGUAUUCAAAGGUAGGGCUAGAACAGACCUAACAAGGUGAUAAUCUCAGAUUCCCAUUAAGUAUACCUGCUGGAACUCUUCAGACCGAGUCAAGAUAAACUGAAUACAUCUUCCAAACCAGAGACUUAACAAAACCGAAACUCUACCAGUAAGUCCUUCACUAAGUUCUAAAAAACUCUGCUUAAAGGACUCCUCGCAGAAAAGGUCCUUAAGGUGGUCGAAAUAGCAGAAACUCCGUUGGUGUGCACUUUGGGCUAACAGCCAACAGGGGGUCACCAAACUGAUCACAACUCUCAACCCAAAUGGUAGUACCUUGAGGCAGUUUUACUUGGGAGUUUUAACACAACUUUCUUAUACAAAGUUUCUGGAGUUAGCAUGGCGGAAAAAGGACAGCUAGACAAUCCUUAACGCGGUGCAUUACUUUUUACGACGUACUCGAGUUUGGUUUUAUUUCCUUAGGUUGUGAUUUUUAUUUCUUAAUGCAUGCACGUCCUAGUCGUCCUCUCAACCAAAAAUAAUUUCCAAAAACCUUUGGACUUACGUGGUCAGUGCCGGUGGCAAGGCAACAAUACGGCUCUCACUAUAAUAGCUAGUCGAGUUACUAGGCCUCGUUUCGAACGCAACGUUUGUUAGUGUACCUGCAGAAAAACACAACACAGCUUGAACCUUCCGUGCCAGCACUCAUGAAAGCGUCCACAAUCAUUACCGUUCACUAUAGAAAUGGCACCCAUGCGUUUAACACUGCAUGGACAGUGCAACAACCGUGGAAAUAGGUUCCUUUGAAUAGAAUCCUAUAACCCUUCGCAUUCUCGUGAUGCAGAAUCAUGCACACGUGUAACAAACGUGGGCGAACAACCGUGACGAUAGGCUCGUUGGAAUCGAACCAUACCAUCCUUCGCAUGUAUUAACAUACGGAACCUGCGCACGUAUAAUAGAUGUGGGCGAAACAACCGUGAUGAUAGGCUCGUUGGAAUCGAAUUCCCAUCACCCUUCGCAUACUCGCGAUGCGGAUUUCGGCACACGUAUGAUAGACAUGGCAACAAGUGCUGGAAGUUAGAAGAUAACCAAUAACUAUUAGCCACCUUAAAAAUAACCCCAAAAUCCCCUAGGGCUCCUCGAACUAAACUCAUCCUUAGCGAACUUACGAAUUUCUCAAUUUUACUUCUUCCAAAUUUUAGUUGGAAAAAGAGUUUUAAGGUUUGUUGUUCUCCGUACUGUGCUUCGAGCUCUGAUACCAGCUGUGGCGGAACUGCCCAAAUUAACCUGACUAAAAUGCAUUGAAGUCGCCUGACAUGCGAUUAUGCACUUUAAGCAAGUCAACUUGGUCGACCGUCGGAUUUCCUCCGAUAAACCACAUAAACAGGAUCGAGAAGCAUCGCUCACGCGAAGGUGAGUAGCACAGAUGACAACAUAGUUCAACAAUUUAUUACAUCAGAGUGUUUGAAAUUCAAACUGAAAUUUGCAUGGUUCGAAGUCAAAGGAAAACAGCGGAAACUAAACGUCGAUACAUGACAUCACGACGGAGCCGAUCAUGACAUCAAAAAAUUUCUUCCUUCGCCAUCCGAGGAAGGAUCCCACUCGACGGUCCAGCCUGGAGGAAGCUGGGUCGGCCAAGUGGUACCAACACCCAAACUAUUGACAUUACCUGAAAAAGAUUAGCCACAACAAGGCUGAGCAACUAGUACUCAGCAAGACUGACCCGUCGGAAAGACAUGACCGAGACCUAGACAUGCAAGGCUUUCUGGCUCUGGGGUUUUCUUUGCCAAAAGCGUCUAAAGUCAGUCCUUAUUUUCAACAUUUUAGCUCAUGUUAUAUGUUCUUUAUCCAUUCUAGAUUAGCAACUUAUACUAAACAAACAUGGUUUCCAAGCAAUUACUUAACAAGCAUCAAGAUUAAAAUCAUCAUCAUGUUCCAUCUUUACUCAGUGCAAAAUAGCGAUCUAGUAGUCCCAAUCUGUGAGAGGCAGAAAAUCGAUUCGAAUUUAUUUACCAUGCAUGGCAAACCUAAUCUCACGACAUCCACGCACCACGAAGGGUCGCUUCAUUUGUCAGCCGUCCCCAUCGAUCCCUUAGGCACGUGUCAGGGCCAACUUCCUUUGGCAUGCAAUGCUCCACAGUCCUGGCCUAUUGCUGCACUGUGACCGCACUUGCACCCACAUGAUGCACCAUGGGAACGACGUUCCAAGGACAGCCGGAGGGUAUGCCACGCCCCAGUUCAAUCAGGUACUAGGCUUCCUCAUCUCAUACUAGGUAUGAGAUUAGUACUUUCAAACACUUGAUCACGAAGGCCGACACGUUUCGACCAUAGUUCAUUUUCAUUUAGACAGACGGGGCAAUCCACCAAGUAUCGAACACAAGCCUGACCCCGUCCGUCGUCCUUAUAGUUGCGACAUAUCUGAAACAUUCAACUCCUAUAACUCGCGAGUGACAGGAGAUCACUCGACUUUUACCGAAACCUAUUAAGCAAUGCAACUACUCGGCCUUAGCAACUAGUAUUCAAAAACAAGGUACUAAGUUUAUGCAUCUAAGGUUCCAUUACAACUCCUCGAAACGUAAAUGCGCAAUCAAGUAAUCAAUAAUAUUGCAUGAACUCAAGAUAGGAAUUUAUGCUCCGGGGCUUGCCUUCAGGAAAAGCUUGCGGGUCCUCGGGGUCUUGCUCCGGUUCGGGCUCUCCUUCGAAGGGAUGCAGUUCCUCGGCGGGGUCUUCUUUCGGCGCCGGGUGAAGCUCGUACAUUCCGUCGGCGAGAUUCAACUCUACACGGAAAUGCAAUGCAGAGGUUAAACAUUUUAGAUGGUUAUUUCAACACACUCAUGUUUUAACACGGACACUUUGCUACAGGAAAGGUGGGGGAGUUCAACUUCUGUUGGUGGAGAACAGGAUGAGAGGGUCGGAUUGGGGGAAACUUAGGGUCUGACCCUCAGGUUUAAGGAAAAAUCGUACCGAGGUCCUCAGACUCAACACAGAGGAAUCCCCGAAAUUAUUUCAUCGAUACCCUCAGGUCAAAGAAAAAGUUACAACCGAGCCCUCGGGCGAGGCGGAGAAAGGGUCGGCGAAACUUGGCAGGGUCGGGCGAGGCGAAAGGAAAAAGGUCGGGCGAGACGAAAAGAAAAGGGGUCGGGCGAACCGAAACAAAGGGGUCGGGCGAAAUGAAAAGGAAGGGGUCGGUCGAGACGGAACACAAGGGGUCGGUCGAGACGGAACACAAGAGGUCGGUCGCUUACCUCCAGGUCUACCGGUGAAGCCUUGGGGCCGAACAGGAGUAGGCUGGGGUGGGAAGUCGUACGCGCUAAGGCUUGGGCAGCGGCGAGACUUCGACGGUGGUCCGGCAGCGGCGGUGCUUCUUGCGGACACCAGCAAGCUCGAGUACCGCGCGGAGGAGCGGAUGGCUGGUGUGUUGGGAGAAACGGCUUGAGGGUGGCGGCGAAGUCGCCGGAGUGUGGGGGUGGUGCAAAAGGGGUGAGCUCCACGGAAGCUCAGCGGCGGCGCGGGGAGAAAGCGGCGGCGCAGGUGCGGGCGGUGGCAAGGGGUGGCAUUGCUGGUGAGGGGGUUCCCUUUUAUAGGGCCGGGGUGGCGCGGAGGGUCGAGGCGGGGCUCCGGUGGGGAAAGGAUAAGGCCGGGAGCGGCGAGUGCACGGGCAAGGCGGCCAUUGGCCGGCGACGCCAUUGGGUAGAGGAGGCGGAGCUCUAGGUGGUCUUCGGCGGCGAUUGGCCUUGGGCGGUGCGCGUCUGGGGCUUCCGGUCUGUCGGGCGGGCGAGGCGGAGAGCUACCGUGGGGGUUGGGCGAACGGGCGGAGGCGCGGGAUGUCGAGGGCGUGUUAGCUUUCUUGGCGAACGGGCGGAACAGGGUUGGCGGAGCAGAGCCGUGGCAGGCGGAAGGCGGCACGCGCGUGGCCGGCGGUUGGCUGGCCCGUUCGCUCCGUCUUGUCGCAGGCGCGGGUUGGGCGCCGUGGCUCUCGUCCUGUCGCUGUCGUGCUGGGGAUAGGGCGCUGGCGAGCUGCCGGUGGCCGCUAGAUUUUUCUCACUAUGAAUAUAAUUCAUAGCAAUUACUUUGGAGUUUUUCAGCUUUCUAACAGAUUUAAGCCUCCGCUUCACAUGCCUCGAGGACUUCAUAUUAUCCUUAGUACUCAUAACUUUGAUCAAUACCGUUUGGUUAUCAUAGUACAUAAGGAUUGCCGGAACUGGUUUCUCCACCAGUGGCAAGUCCAUGAGUAGCUCUCUUAGCCACUCGGCCUCAACAGUAGCCGUGUCAAGUGCUACAAGCUCAGCUUCCAUGGUUGACCACGUCAAAAUGGUCUGUUUACACGACCUCCAUGAAACUACAGCACCUGCUAGUGUAAACAUAUAGCCACUCGUGGCUUUAAUUUCAUCCGCAUCAGAAAUCUAGUUGGAAUCACUAUAUCCUUCCAAUGCAGAUGGAUAACCAGUAUAGUGAAUUCCAUAUUCGAUUGUACCUCUCAUGUAACGUAGCACUCUCUCUAGUGCCUCCCAAUGAUCCUUCCCUGGAUUGGAAGUUAAACGACUUAAUUUGCUCACAGCAAAAGAUAUGUCGAGACAUGUUGCACCAGCAAGAUACAAAAGGGACCCAAUUAUUUGUGAAUAUCUCAAAUGGUCCAUCCCUUCAUCUUUAUUUUUCCUUAGCUUUACACUAGCAUCGUAGGGUGUAGGGGAUACUUUUGCAUUUUCAAAGCAAAAGCGACAAAAUAAUUUUUUCACAUAAUGAGAUUGAUUUAGAAUAAUCCCAUUCUCAUUUUUGGUCAACUUAAUAUUUAGGAUAACACUUGCUUCUCCCAGAUCCUUCAUGUCGAAGCCUGAAGAUAAGAAUGAUUUGACCUUCAAGCCCACUGCACACCGAAUUCGAAGGUCGACAAGGCGCCAUAGCAAGAGAUUCAGCACAGCGAGUGGGAAGACGAGCGUGUAACAGCGUCCAUUCAACCAGGACAUCUCCUGGUGUUAUAGACCUUCGUAGUGCAUCAGUUUCCCCAUCAAACAGCCUCAUCAAGCAGUAGAAACUGCCAAUUUGAACGAUAGAAACGGCUUCCAUCAAAUUGUUGAAACUGACACACCUUAUUGCUGUUUAAAACGGCAAUUUCAAUCACAUUGAAUUGCCAUUAGGCUCAGCAUAAAAAAAAUAAUAACUGCACAAACAAUAGUCACAACUCACGCGAUUUUCCACGUGAAAAUGUGCGUGAGCUUCAUGUGCGUGUAGCAACAAUCUCCUUCUCUCUCAUUUGCAUCUAUUUUGCAUAGAGAGGAGACUCCCAUAUUUAAGCAAGGCAACCUCUCCUUGAAUUAGCAAUAUAAGACUAAAGGUUGUGUAUGCUUUGGAAUUUUCUAAUUGGGCCACAUAUGGGCCUAAAUCCAAGACGGUGAAGGUUCUUCUAUCUCAACUCAAGGUGACGUUUAUAGCCUCGGCAUAUUGCUUCUUGAGAUGUUUACUGGAAGGAGCCCAACGGAUGAGAUGAGAUAUUCAAUGAUUCUUUGGAUUUGCACAAGUUUUCAGCGAAUGCUCUUCCAGAGAGAAAACGGGAUAUAGUUGAUCCGACAAUAUGGAUGCACACAGAUGCCUAUAACAGCACUAUAAGAAGUGGAAUUAAGAAUUGCUUGCUUUCUGUUGUUUGUCUUGAAAUAUCAUGCUCGAAGAAACAACCUAGGGAGCAGAUCCCGAUUCAGGAUGCAGCCAUUGAGAUGCACGCUAUUAGAGAUUCGUAUCUCAAGUUUGCCAGAUCUCUUUUGGUGGAGCAUGGAGUAGUAGCAACAACUCACAGUGAUUUCCCACAACAGUGAAUACAUAGGACUGAAAAUGGGCAAGAUGUUGCAGGUGAUCAGUUUACCUGAAAUAACUGAAGAUGUAUGAAGCUUCAGCUUUAUAAUUCGUCCAUGCAUUUGUUUGCAUCAGAUAUAUGGAAGUAUAAAAUAAGUUUAGAAAAUGUUUCAAAAUAGAUUAGAUCCAGAGGUUUUACUUGUCGUCUGUAUGACACAUUUUUUGUAGAGAAUUCAGUAAUAUGUAUGAUUCAUAAUACAAUCAAUGCUCUACAAAUUUCAAUAGCACAAUUGGAAUAAAAAGCUCAUUCAUUGAUUAUGUUGCUCUAGGUAACUCAACUUAUUGUGAUGUUCACUGUAGAUUUCUCCAUGGUCCAAACGACCUUUGUGAUCAGUUAUGUUUAUGCAUUUUGUAGAAUUGUAAAGUCUUUCCCUAACCUGCUGACGUAUCAGCCGGAGCAUGAGAAGGGGGUGCACCAAAUAUGGGAUGAGAUGGAGAGGAGUGAAUCAGGCCCAGAUCAACGAUCAUUUACUAUUAUGGUUUAUGGUCUUCAUUCCCAAGAAAAGCUUGAUGAGGCUCUGCAAUAUUACACAACAAUGAAGUCAAGAGGGUUGAUCCCUGAACCAAGGACCAAGAUACUGGUGAAAGCUAUACAUAUGAAGAAAGAUGGGGCUGUCACAGAAGAUCAGUCUGCAAAUAUGACAGGGAAGAAUCUAAAACUGGAUCCACGAUCUAGCCUAUUCCAUGUUCAUAAAUAGUUUGCUGUCAGAUCUUACUUCUAUAACCUCAACAGAGGAUUGCUGGGCACGUAUUAUGUGUCAAAAGAAUCUCUUCUACCAGUGUCCAGAUCACAAUGGCCACACCUUGGGCUACAAUAAAUCAUCAGAAAAGUGUAUUGGCAUCAUGUAUCCCAGAAAGUUUUGCUCAGACUUUCAAUGCCAGGGUAUGUUUUUCAUGUCUGAUAUGGAUCAAUUAUAUUGCAAGUACUGUAUUACACGCUCGUAUUAUGAAGGUUAUGUGAAAUAUGACAGAUGUUUGUUUAUUCAUCUGUUAUGCAUGGCUGUGUCUACUGUCUAGCUGUUGGCUUGUUGCCAACAUAUGCAGCAGCAGGUAGCUUCAGCCGCUCAGAAGCCCAAAUGAAGGAUGGCCCAGGCAGAAUAGCUAUGUCUAGACCCAGAAAGCUUAGGACAUGUCUUGCCAGCCUGCAGUUUUGUACUCGUAGCACCAACCAUCUCCGGGUUCUGGCCGGUUAUAUACAUGGUCUGGACUCUGGAAUGGGCAUCCGCUGAUCGAUUGAAACCUUGAGCUGCUUCCGUGUUUGUCUUUUACCAUCUAUAUAUUAUGGUUAGUCAACGGCAUGCAGUACACCCAUGCAUAUGAUUGCAGUAGGAUGACAUGGCGCGACCAGAACCCUUCUUUUGCCAGUUUUAGAUUCUUAUACACGGCCAACUGACGCAGCAGGGAGUUGCAUGCUAAGCAGUUCAGCGUAGGUGGUGAGUUCUCAACUCUGAUAUGGCUUAUGGAAGAACACUGUCACGGUGUUACCUAGCCGGUUGGAGGCCAACCUCUUACUAGGGACAGCAAUGGCCCUGUCCGGCCACUGUUUCGUGGCUGGUAUUAUUACCCCUAUGCAGUGAAUAUGACAUGUGGAUCUAUGUGUAUAUUAUGUCGUCAAAAGAACAUUAUAUGAACCGUUGAUCCACCUUUGAUUCUAUUAAUGUGUCAUGGUCAAUUGAUGUCAAACUCUAUUAUCUUCAAGUCUUAUUGUAUUGAUAAAAUCACGAUGCUGCUACUGCCAUUUUGAUGUUUAUAAAAGGGUAUUGAGAACCUGGUGGGUAUCCAUUGGAUGCGCAGGGUUGAUGGUGGGGAAAAAUGAGUGUAAAGGACAGGGAUGCAGUAUUUAGAAAGAUGGGGCUGCCACAGAAAAUAGUCUCCAAGUAUGGCAGGGAAGAAUCUAAAACUGAAUCCUUGAUCAAGACUGUCCCAUAUUCAUAAAUAGUUCACUGACAGAUCUUGCUUCCAUAUUCUGAACAGCUGAUGCUGGGCACAUAGGAGGUUAACCGGUCAGCGGAUCAAAGAAAAUCCACAAUGGCCUCAUCUUGGGUUAGAGACAAUCAUCGGUAAAGAAUCAUAUUGCCGGAUAAGGAUAUCUGUGAUUGGUGGGUGCAGAUCCAUGCUCAUUCAAGAAACACAUGAUUCUUUACGGAUGAUCAUCUCUCAGCACACCCUGCUGAUAAGGUUAUCUGAGAUUGGUGGGUGCAGAUCCUAGAAACAAGCUAGGGCUGAAUGCGCCGCUGUACUUGGAUGUUGUGGUGACACCGUAAUGAUUGUGUGUUUAACGGAGUUUCCCAUAGUGACUAGCGUGCAGGCCGUCCUCGUAUUUGAGAAAAAAAUCAAUGGGCGAAAUGUUUUCACCCAGGUAAUUGUUGCAUUGUAUGAAUAGGCUUAGAUACCUGGUUACUGUGACACAAGAAGAUUUAUCAUAUCUAUCUAUGAAUUAGUGUUAAAUCUCCUACAUAAAUAUCUUCUCUUAUCUCACUUUAUGUAUAUAUAUGACACAGAAGCACAUGUAUAUCGGCAUUGUAGAGAUAGAGAUGAGAGAGAAGCUUAUCUGCUUUUUGGAGAUAAAUAUUCAAAUUACUAGUGUAUGAGAGGGAUAGAAUUAUUCUAUCAUAUUGUUUAUUCAACAUCUAAAAAGAUUCCAUGUUUAGUCAUCUAUAUCGGCGUUGUAGAGAGAGAGACUAGUGUUCAUCUGGUUGGAAGGAUGAGAGAGAGAGGAGAGAGUUUGGAUGAGAUAGAGAGAUAGUGUUCAGCUGGUUGGAAGGAUGAGAGAGAGAGAGAGGAGAGUUUGGAUGAUAGAGAGAUUAGUGUUCACUUGGUUGGAAGGAUGAGAGGGAGAUGAGAGAGUUCGGAUGAGGAGGUAGAGAGUUCGGAAGAGAGAGAGAGGUGAGAGUUCGGAUGAGAGGUGUGAGAGAGGUGAGAGUUCGGAUGAGAGAUAAAGUAGCUUAUAAGGAUGAGAGAGAGAAAGCGGUAUUCAGCUGGAUGGUGGAGACUUCAUAUAUUACUAAUAAUGCAUCCAAACAACAUUUAAAAUUUAAUUCUAAGAAAAACUUUCUCGGUAAAUCAAAACAAGAAAAUUCAAUUGAAUCAAAUUCUACGGAAUCCAUUUCCUAUGAAAUCUAAUUGCUAGAAUAUGAUUCAUGGAAUGAGUUCCAAUUCUAGAGAUCCAAACGGGCCCUAAGAGAAUUGUAGUGAUCAACUCCCAAGUUGCAAUAUAUCCUAGGAAAUAGGUGGUUAUGAGGAUGAUACCUGCAGACAAUACUUUUAAUCCCUCAAUUCUUACAGAGAAUUGCACUAUCAACUGCAUUUUCAUUUGUGCCACGCUGCUCAGCUAUAAAAAACGGGGCAAAUCGACCAAAAUAAAUGAAUAAACCACAUGGUUUAGACUGGUGGCAUAUGUAUGUCUGAUGAGUUUAGAAUCCCAACAGACCUCUGUUUGCUUAUCCAACAGGAGGGAAAAAGUUUACUUACUAAAUCAGCUUUGCAUGUCAGGCUGCAAUUGUUAGAGAGUAGAAUUGGGUAAUUUGUGAACAUAAUUGAAUCAAAGUUUUGUCUCAGACUAGUAAUAGAAAAUGGUGAUGCUCCAUAGCUAGAACAACACGUUCCUACACUAGUUUAAAAAAUCCCCUGAAAUUGGGAACAAUGGUCAAGCCCAAACCAUACUUGGAACUUGGAAGGCCGCUGGCGGAUGUCAAAGUCAAAAACAGAAGCAGACAGCGACGUCUCACCAGAUCACGAAUCAGAUGCGAUGCAUAUACAUGUUGCAGGCAUUAGCACGCAUCCCUUAGGAUUAAACAAUUCAGCAAGUAGCUCCCCUGCUGACCAAGAAAAGCAAGCUCUGUCUCGCAGCAAGCUCUUCAAUACGCUCCAGCCCAGCUCUACCAUGGCAUUGGCAAUGCGCGUCAUGAGCUUGCUUCCUGCCACCAUCGCCGUGAUGAUCGCAGCGGCCUCCUGGGGAGCGCACGGCGGUGCCAGCGACGAGGCCAGCGCGCUGCUUGCUUUCAAGGCUGAGCUCGCCGGCAGCGGCUCCGGCAUGCUUGCAUCCUGGAAUGGCACCGCUGGCGUCUGCAGCUGGGAGGGCGUGGCGUGCACCAGCGGCCAGGUGGUGGCACUGAGCCUGCCCUCUUAUGGGUUCGCCGGAGCCCUCUCCCCGGCCAUUGGGAACCUCACUUUCCUGCGGACCCUGAACCUGAGUUCCAACUGGUUCCAGGGGGAGGUCCCAGCAAGCAUCGGCCGCCUAGCGCGUCUGCAGACGCUUGAUCUGAGCUACAAUGCGUUCUCUGGUACGCUUCCUUCCAACCUCAGUUCCUGUGUCAGCUUACUGCUGUUAGAUCUCAGCAGUAACCGGUUCCAUGGGCGUAUCCCUGUUGAGCUUGGAGACAAGCUAACAAGUCUUCAGAAGUUCUCACUGGGCAACAACAGCUUGACGGGUGCCAUGCCAGGAUUACUAGGUAACCUGUCAUCCCUGAACUACCUUGAUCUGAGAAAAAACCACCUCGAGGGUCCGAUCCCACAUGAACUCGGCAGCAUGGGCGGCCUGCAGGUCCUUUUACUCCAUGACAACAGACUCUCCGGUGUGCUUCCACACUCCCUGUACAAUCUGUCCUCACUGAAAAAGUUGGGGGUAGGAGACAACAUGCUGUCUGGAACCAUCCCUGCUGAUAUCGGCGAUAGGUUCCCCGGUAUGGAAGCUCUUGACUUUUCUAGCAACCGAUUCAGUGGAGCUAUCCCACCUUCGCUCGGCAACCUCUCUGCUCUCACAAAACUAGUCCUUCAAGAAAAUGGUUUUAUUGGAUAUGUGCCUUCUGCUUUGGGAAAGUUGCAAAGUCUUACUGCCCUUUUCUUGGGUGUUAACAGGCUAGGAGCAAACGACAGUCAAGGGUGGGAAUUCAUCACUUCACUGGCAAACAGCUCCCAGCUUCAGGUUCUUGUUCUCGGCAACAACUCUUUCAGCGGGCAACUGCCUAAUUCAGUCACAAACCUGUCAUCAACUCUGCAAGGUCUUUAUUUGGGAGACAAUAUGAUUUCUGGGAAUAUUCCAAUAAACAUCGGAAAUUUGGUUGGUCUUACAGUAUUUGUGAUGGGAAAUACUUCUGUAUCUGGACAGAUUCCAGAGAGCAUUGGUCAGCUAAGAAACUUGGGUGUGUUAGGCCUUUACAACACUAGCUUGUCAGGCCUCAUACCUUCGUCACUAGGAAAUCUUACACAGUUGAAUAGGCUUUAUGCAUACUAUGGAAACUUAGAGGGGCCAAUUCCAUCAAACUUGGGGAACUUAAAGAAUGUGUUUGUCUUUGAUCUCUCAACAAAUCGACUCAAUGGUUCAAUUCCUAUAGAGGUUUUAAAACUUCCUCAACUUUCCUGGUACUUAGACUUAUCAUAUAAUUCAUUAUCCGGGCCACUUCCAAUUGAGGUUGGUACCAUGGUGAAUCUUAACGAACUGAUUCUGUCUGGAAACAAGUUGUCAGGCACCAUACCAGCUAGUGUUGGGAACUGUAUAUCGUUGGUACGGCUGCUGCUCGAUAACAACUUAUUAGAAGGAAGCAUACCUCAAUCUCUGAAGAAUAUAAAAGGUCUUGCAUUACUGAACCUAACAAUGAAUAAGCUAUCUGGUAGUAUUCCUGAUGCCCUUGCUAGCAUUGGCCACCUGCAACAACUGUAUCUUGCACACAACAACUUGUCAGGUUCCAUCCCCAAAGUUCUACAGAAUUUGACAUUGUUGGCAAAACUGGAUUUGUCCUUCAAUGAUCUGCAAGGCGAAGUGCCAAAAGGGGGUCCUUUUGCAAAUGCAACUCACUUGUCAAUUGAUGGAAAUGAUGAGCUUUGUGGCGGAAACCCUCAACUUCAUUUAGCUCCGUGCUCCACAGCAGCUGCGGAGAAGAACAGAAGGCGAAUGUCAAGGUCACUUAUGGUCACCGUAGCGUCAAUCUGCGCACUUCUAUUCUUAGGUUUAGUAGUUUGUCUUAUCCAUUUGAUCCACAAGAGGCUCAGACAAGGAAAGGAAAAUCAACUCAUUCCCACAGUAAUUGAUGAACAGCACGAAAGGGUUUCAUAUCAAGCAUUAGCAAAUGGGACUGACCAUUUUUCGCAGGUUAAUCUGCUCGGACAAGGAAGCUAUGGUGCAGUUUAUAAGUGCACUUUACAAGACAAGGGAAUUACCGCAGCUGUAAAGGUAUUCAACGUGUGGCAAUCUGGGUCUACUAGAAGUUUUGUGGCUGAAUGUGAGGCACUGCGAAGGGUGCGCCACCGAUGUCUCAUAAAGAUCAUCACCUGUUGCUUAAGCAUUGAUCACCAAGGCCAAGAAUUCAAGGCACUGGUUUUUGAGUUCAUGCCCAAUGGUAACCUAAAUGGUUGGCUGCAUCGAGCAUCCAAAAUACAGAGUCUGAGCAAUACGCUCAGCUUAGCUCAGAGACUGGACAUUGCGGUAGAUAUCAUGGAUGCUUUGGAUUAUCUUCACAAUCAGUGUCAACCGCCUAUUAUCCAUUGUGAUCUCAAACCAAGUAACAUCCUCCUUGCCGAAAGUAUGAGUGCUCGGGUUGGAGAUUUCGGCAUAUCAAAAAUCCUUCCUGAUGACACUAGCAAAACUAUGCUGAAUUCGGUUAGCUUCACUGGACUAAGAGGUUCCAUUGGAUACGUCGCUCCAGGUAACAGAAACUAACACUGAUAUUGCUAUGUUCAGUUUUUAACUUCCAUUUUGCCAAGUCCAGUUAUCUCGGCAUGAAUCGUUCGUAAGUAGCUUGCCAUGAAUCCACUGACCAAAUAGUUUCUGAAAUCUCAAUUGACUGCAGAGUACGGCGAGGGUCGCGCCGUCUCAACUCUUGGAGAUGUUUACAGCCUCGGCAUACUGUUGCUUGAGAUGUUCACCGGGAUGAGCCCUACUGACGACAUGUUCAAAGGCUCCUUGGACCUUCAUAAGUUCGCCGAGGCCGCUCUCCCCGACAGAGCCUUGAAGGUAGCCGACCCGGCAAUCUGGCUUCAUGAAGAAGCAAAGGGGGAAGACCCGGCCACGGUGAGAAGCAGAAGCGAGAGGUGCUUGGCUUCAGUGGUCGGGCUUGGCGUGUCCUGCUCAAAGCAGCUGCCAAGGGAGCGGACGGCGAUGCGGGAUGCUGCCGCUGAGAUGCGUGCGAUCAGAGAUGCCUUCCUGGUUCAAUGUGCAACAGAGACUUGGCCUGCAGUCGGCACCAGCGGCCUUGGAAGCACAGACACUUGAAUGGUGGACGGAGCUACGGUCUCUUGACGCACCAAGGAGCCACCGGACUAGCUGCUCUGCAACUAACAGGGUGGAGAAAGCGCCCCUUAAUGAAAAGAAAAACAGCCGGUGCAAGGCUUUAUACGGAGGGGUGUUUGGAUCCCCGGACUAAAUUUUAGUUCCUGUCACAUUGUCCAUCGAAUAUUUCGAUACUAAUUAGGUCUAUUAAACAUAGACUAUUUACAAAAUCCAUUACAUAGAUGGAGGUUAAACGGCGAGACGAAUCUAUUAAGCCUAAUUAGUCCAUGAUUUGACAAUGUGCUGCUACAGUAACCAUUUGCUAACGAUGGAUUAAUUAGGCUUAAUAAAUUCGUCUCACCGUUUAGCCUCCAUCUGUGUAAUUAGUUUUAUAAUUAACUCAUAUUUAAUCCUCCUAAUUAGUCUUCGAAUAUUCGAUGUGACACGGACUAAACUUUAGCUCCAGGAUCCAAACAUCCCCAAAGAAUGUGACAGCCACUGCGUGUAUCCGAGAGCCUUAUCUAAUCUACCAAUGAUUGUUGUGUAUGGAUGCAUAUAGAUUAUGCACGAACUCCCUCCGUCCCAAAAAAAUGUACUACUAUUUAUAAUGUAUAAUAAGUAUCAUUAGAUUGAGUAUUGAGUAUACUUUCCUAAUACAUUUAUUUGAAGAUACAAAUGUUGAUACUAUUUUCUAUAUUCUUAGUCAAAUUUAAAAACGUUGACUCCUCGAAAAGUGAGAUGUGUGUUUAUUUUGGGACGGAGGGAGUACCCGGGGAUUAGUCACGAUACAAGUAGGGAUUAGCAAGCACCAAAACCUCAUUCAUUGCCCUUCGAUCGCUCAAAUAAAAGCAACCAUUGCAUAUGGUGGCGAUGCGCUUGCGGGCCUUUCUCCAACCUUCAUUCUCCAACCUCUCUGCUCUCGCGGGCCUUGAACUCGCAUGGAACAGUUUUAGUGGAAACGUACCCCAACUUUGAAGAGAUUGCAAAGCCUCAUUUUACCUAUCCUUAAGUGGCAAUAAGCUAGGAUCGAAUGAUAAGGACGGAUUGGAAUUCAUCACCAUGCUGGCAAACUGCAGCCAGCUCCAGCAACUGGCUUUUGACAAUAGUUCAUUCAUCGGGGAACUUCCUACUCAAUUGCAAAUCUAUCGACAACACUCCAAUUGCUCUGUAUAGGAAACAAUUGGAUUUCGGGAUUUAUUCCAUCCAGCAUCGGUAAUUUGGUUGGUCUAGAACUGCUUACGUUGGCAAAUACUUUCAUAUCCGUGAAGGAUCGAAACUGGCGACCAGAGGGGGGUGAAUGGGAGCCUCACAAAAAUUCGCGGAAGCAAUUUGAGUAAAAUUAGAAUAAAAUUUAUUUGCAAUUUCCAACACAGAUAAAAAGACAGGGGUAAGCAAAAAGCUAAAUCACGUGAUAAAGACCCACUAAACAAAAUAUUAAACAAAAGAGCAUAUGGUUGCAAAAAGGUUGUUUACUGUUCAUAGAAAGUGACCUCACCUUCCCUGGUGCAUGCGUGAGUGAUGUUUCUAGAAACAAUAUUAAUGUGUAAUAUUGAAAGUGCUAAUGAGAAGGAAAUUUGCAAAGCAGAGACACGACCUGCAAGUCACCUGCAGGCACAUGCGUGCGCUGUUCGGAAGCAGAACGCUGUUCCUGGCCGGUCACCUCCCUUGUACGGGGCACACACAGUAAAAUCCAGAGACGUGCGCUUCAGUAGAGCAGGCAGCGUACGAACUAAUCAUACGAGCUCAUCGGCGGCUGGCCCUGGUGCGACGCUGCGAGCCGUGGCUGACCGCCAGGAGCAGACCUUGUCCUCCCGCAACGAUGUGUCCCUGAACAGCAAAACGGGAACAACCAAACCGGCGGCGCAAACAACGAAAACAAAGGGAACGGAGGAAAAUCGGAUCUCGCACGAACAAAGAACAAAUCACAAGGACGAAUGAUUAAAGUGUAAUUAUUCUACAAAAGUGCAUCUAGCCUCCGCCCGAUCGUCCUCCCUCUCUUCAUUGGAGAGAUCAACAAAAAUCCCUCGCUAGUAUUGAAACCCUAGGCUAGACAAAAAGCGAGAAAGCAAGAGAACCCUCUCAACCCUAGGUGCCACAUAUUUAUAUCCUUAGGGUGGCACGACCUAUUUACACAUAACCCCCUACGCUAAAUAAAUCUAACGUAGGGGCGUAAAUUCCAAUUACGUCCUCCAUGGUAAAUUCCGCGAUGUCCGCAAUCCCUCCAUCUCUACGACGUGAUCUUCGCGAUGUCGCCGCACGACCAUCCGAAAUCGUAUCGCGAUCGUCGGAAUUUCCAUCUUGGGCCAACGCCUGUCGCACGGGCGUCCCGAUACGAUGCAUGGCUUUGUGGCUCAACCAGCGAACCCCGGAUUUUGUGGCAUAAUCCGGAAACCUCCCUCGACGUCCUCCCGCCGUGUAGCCAGGUACAGUAGAUGUAUACCGCACGAUCGCCUGUCCCUCGAACGCAAGCCUCGAUCCGCCCUUCUCCGCCCCCGCGGUUUUUCAACGUGGCAUCCUAUCUUCGUUCUUCACUCGUCGCCGCAUGUACCUUGUCUCCACCUGUCACCUGCAACCACAACCUACCAAGAGACACGUCACACGCACACCGUGUUAUCAAUCGCUCAUCACCAAGGUGCUAGCCCACCGGCAUCUCAAUCUCCCCCUUGAUGAGUGCAUUGACAACACCACACCGCACAAAUUUAUUCGUACGGAAAAAGAAAAAUAAAAAGAAAGAAAAAGAAACGAUCUUAAUCCCCAAAGACAUGGGCUAGCGAAAAAGCUAGGCUCGACACAAUAAAGACAGAAAUUCACUCUCCCCAAAGUGAAUCAAAAGCCAUAUCAAUCUCCCAAAAGCAAUCUCAGCAGCAAAACUCACAAAUUUCAGCAAAACUCCCCCUACAAGAAUGAACGAACUUCCCCAGCAAGAAUGAAGUUGUGCGCUACUCACUCUCCCCCUUGUUGACAAAGCACUCCAUCAAGAUAAAAGGCAAGGAACCAAUUUAGAGAAAAGCAUGUGAGAAAGCACAAGUUGAAGCUUCUGAGACAUAUGCCAAAUACUUAUAAAAGAACAACACUAGCUAUCCAGAGAAGGAACAAUACAAUGCCAUGACCAAUAAAAAUUUAGAACUGAAAUCUGUUUGAAAACUAAUGUGCCAGGCAAAAACGUGCACAUUCCAAACUCAGUGCAAAGCUGAAGACAAAACAUAUAGCAAGCUCACACGACAGAUACACAGCUUCAGUCCAAGUUCACUGCAACGCCCACAAAUGCAUUCACUUGUCAUAUUUAAUUCUAACUUUUGUGAGCAUGAUAAGCAGGGACAUGGGAAGCAAGAGUUGUGCCCAGCCAGUUUGUUUAAUUUUGUUUAUGAGCGAGAACCAGCAGGGACAUGGGAAAAACAGAGUUGCACCCAUAUUUAAAUUCUGAGUAAGGCAAGCAGAUCAUGAGCUAAAUAGCAGAGAUAUGGGAAUUCAGAGUUUUUGCUCACAACCAUACUAUGUACUCCCGAGUUAAAACUUGUAUUGUGAGUUACAUUUGCAGUGAAAACCCAUUAAAAGAAGCUGACUACCGAACCAUGAGCAAGAUAUAUGUCAAGUAUUCAACAAGUCACUAGAUCCAGAAAAGCAAACAUAGCCCAACAUAAUUUUUUAAGUAUAUAUCUGUGCUUUUUUUAAAAUAAAAAUUGGUCAAGCAAAGCAUUCAAACCUCUCCAAAAGCAUCGAUUGCAAACUAGCCAAAACAAGUAUAAAGCAUAUGUAACUGAAGCAACUUACAAUGAUACUAGAAUGGGUAACACACCCCGAACUCACCACGCAGACGUGCAAACGUGGUUUGAUCUAGUGGCUUAGUCAAAAUAUCAGCAAGUUGCUGACUAGUAUCAAUAUGCUUAAGAUCAAUAUCACCCUUUUCAAAAUGAUCCCUCAGAAAAUGAUGACGAACCUCAAUGUGUUUCGUCUUAGAGUGAAGCACAGGAUUCUUUGCAACACUUAUAGCGCUAGUGCUGUCACACAAGAGAGGAACGCGAGAAAACGACAAACCAAAAUCGCGAAGGGUAGCUAUCAUCCAUAAAAGCUGAGAACAACAACUAGCAGCAGCAACAUACUCAGCCUCUGUAGUAGAUUGAGCAACAUUAGAUUGUUUUCUAGAGGACCAAGAAACAAGCGAAGAACCCAAAAAUUGGCAAGUACCCGAUGUAGACUUUCUAUCCAAACGACACCCAGCAAAAUCAGCAUCCGAAUAACCACACAAACUGAGAGUCGAAGCAGCAGAGUACCAAAGGCCAAAUGCAGGAGUAAAUCGGAGAUACCUCAUUAUGCGCUUCACCGCCUGACGGUGAGAAGUCCUGGGGGACGCCUGAAAACGAGCACACAUACACACAGCAAAGUGUAUAUCUGGCCUCGUAGCAGUCAAGUACAGCAGCGACCCAAUCAUGCUUCGAUAUUCCUUCUGAUCUACAGGCUCUCCGUCCUCAUCAGCAUCCAAAGCUACGCUAGUCGGCAUGGGCGUAGAAAUUGGCUUCGCAUCAUCCAUCGCAAACUUCUUCAGGACAUCCUUCGUGUACUUUCCCUGAUGCACAAAUGUACCUUCCAAAGUUUGUUUUAUUUGUAAGCCAAGAAAGAAAUUCAGCUCGCCCAUCAUAGACAUCUCAAAUUCUUUGCUCAUCACAUCUACAAACUUUUUCACAAGAGCAUGAGAGGAACCACCGAAAAUGAUAUCAUCCACAUAAAUCUGAACUAUUAAAGUGUCAUUUCCUUGCCUGAGGAGAAAAAGAGUUUUAUCAACUGAACCCAUUUUGAACCCAUUUUUAAGCAAAAAAGUUUUCAAUCUAGCAUACCAAGCGCGAGGUGCUUGCUUCAAACCAUAUAAAGCCUUUUGCAACUGAAGAACACGAUCAGGAAAAUUGGGAUGUUCAAAACCAGGUGGUUGUUUAACAUAAACUUCUUCUUCUAUAAAACCGUUCAGAAAAGCACUUUUCACGUCCAUUUGAUAAAGCUUAUAACCACGUGAAGCAGCAAAUGCAAGCAAAAUACGAAUGGCUUCUAAACGAGCAACAGGAGCAAAAGUUUCACCAUAAUCAAUACCCUCUUUCUGAGAAAAGCCCUGAGCAACCAGCCUAGCUUUAUUUCUAACAACAUAACCAUCUUCCCCUUGUUUGUUCUUAAAGACCCAUUUAGUCCCAAUUGGUUUACAAGAGGGAGGAGGAUCAACCAAAACCCAAACCUGAUUCCGUUCAAAAUUUUCUAACUCCUCAUGCAUGGCAUUGACCCAGUUAGAAUCAGAUAAAGCAUGUCCAACAUCUCAGGGUUCAAAAAAGGCAACAAAAGCAGUAUGCGCAAAGACACAAUAAUUUUUAUUUUUCAUACCUUUGUUCCUUGUCGUGCGCUCAUCCAAAUUACCUAUUAUGUUCCUUGCAGGAUGACGAUUCUGAAUGUGUUGUGGUGCUGUACGUUCUGAAAUCGCCUCCCCCUCAACUGCAGCCGGCACCUGAUCAACAGUCGGUGAAGCUGCAGGCGCUGCUGUAGAUGUACGUGUCGACGACGGUCCAUCCUCCAAAGUGGUGGAGGGCGCCUGCUCAGACUGGGCGCCAGGCUCCCCCUGCAUCGCAGGCUGGGCGUCAUCGUCGUCGUCGUCGUUGCAUCCAUCUUCCUCUUUCUCAUCCUCAAAAAUAUCCUGCCCGAUCUCAUCAUCACCUGCACACUCAGAAGCAGAAGAAAAACAAGGCAUUGUCUCGUUGAAGGUGACCUCACAUGUCUCCUCGAUGCGGUUAGUAUCAAGAUUAAGCACACGGUAUGCUCGCCCUUGCAAGGCAUACCCCAAAAAUAACCCAUCAGAAGAACGCGAUUCAAAUUUAUCCAAAUUUCCCUUUUUCAAUAUAAAACACUUGCAGCCAAAGACUCGAAAGUGGAAAACUUUGGGAGGUCGACCAAAUCUCAACUCAUAAGAUGUUUUUCCCAGAAAAGCUCUCAGAAAAAUGCGAUUAGCAACAUAGCAAGCGGUGUUGAUCGCCUCAGCCCAAAAACGUCUAGGAGUUUUAUGUUCAUCAAGCAUUGUCCUAGCCAUCUCAACAAGCGUACGAUUUUUACGCUCAACAACACCAUUCUGGGGAGGAACGUAAGGUGAGGAAAACUGGUGAUCUAAACCUUGUUCUGAACAAAAAGCUUUCAUACGAGAAUUCUUGAAUUCCAUACCGUUGUCACUGCGAAUUGCUCUAACGGCAUUAUUUGACAACUCGUUUUUCAGCUUCAGAACAAGAUCAUGAACAUGUGAAAAAGCCUCAUCCUUAGAUUCCAAAAAGAACACCCAUGAAUAUCGAGAAAAAUCGUCCACAACGACGAGCACAUACCACUUCCCACCAGCGGACCGAACACGGGCUGGACCAACUGUGUCCAUAUGUAACAGCUCACCCGGUCGUCUUGUCAUCACCUGAGUCAUAGGUGCAUGAGAAGCAGCAACCAUUUUUCCAUGUUUGCAGGGAGCACAAACCAAAUCCUUCUCAAAUUUGAGUUUCGGUAAACCAGCAAUUAAAUUCAUGGAACUCAAGCGGCAAAGCAAAUCAAAGCUCAGGUGGCCCAAGCGACGAUGCCACUUUCAAAUAUCAGGGGAACCAUGAGCAACCAAACAACGAGUCUGUCCAAAAGAUUUAGAAAAAUCAACCUUAAAAACUCGUCCAAAGGGAGAAAUCUUGCAAACAAGGUCACCAGCAGAAUCAAGAACUCGCGAAUUGCCUUUCUUAAAACGCACUUCAAAAUCAUCUUCAAGGAGUUGCGAGACAGAAAGCAGAUUAUAAUGCAAAUUUUGUACCUUCGCGACAUCCUUUAGCAUGAAUUUUUCAGAUACAUUGAUGCAGCCAUGCGCCAAAACCUUACCUUUACUAUUAUCCCCGAAUGUAAUAUGUUCCUUACCACUCGCGGGGGUGAGGCUGGAGAACCAUCUGUCAUCUCCGGUCAUGUGGCGCGAACAACCGGAAUCCAUUAUCCAUAUGUUCUCCUCGCCUCCAUCCUGCAGUCAACAAUGAGCAUAAGAGUGAGCUAAUGACUCAACACUGGGGUUAGGAUAAUGCAGAGAAAACCAGUGCUGGGCCACUUGCUCAAAAGAGGCAUUAGCAAAAUCAAAACUCUCGAAAGAUUGACGAGAACCACGAGGGGGAAAAUGUAGCCUAUCAUUCCAGUGUGGUGCAGGAGCACGAGUAUAGCCUGUCAUUCCAGUGUGGUGCAGGAGCACGAGUAUGCGAGCGAAAACCAAAAGAACGACCAGCAAGCUUACGACCCAAAACAGGACGAUCAUGAGUACCACGUGCAGGGUACUGCUCACGUCUCUCAGCACGCUUCCGACGGAAGCAAAACUCAUAGAGAUGACCAUCAUGAUCACAAAAUUCACAAUGGUAAUGCUUAUGUGAAGGAGCAAAAGAAACCUUAGCCUUAGAACCAGAAGCAACAAAUUUAGGCUUAGGCAUAGCAGCAUGAACACAUGGAGAAUCAGAUGGCUUAACAUUCUGUGCAACAUUGAAGUGUUUAGGUUUAGGCACCCAAACCUGCUUUUUAGGAACCGAUCUGGAUGGUUCAACUAACAACCCCUCAGAUGUGACACCUGGACCCUCUUUCCUAGGAGGUGGUCCAGUUACUUAGCCAAAGGUGGAUUAAUUUCAUCCACAGGAGGUCCACUCUUUUCACCAAAAACAUGUUUCAAAUCGUAUCCAGGUCCAAAACGCUCAUCCCGUUUAAUUUGAGCAAUAGACAUACCUAUUUGAGGUUCACGAAUAGAGCACCAACCAAGAAUCACUCUCAAAUGUUUAUUUUCUUCUUCCAAAGCAGAAAACUUUACCCUCAAAUCAUUAUUUUCAGCAAAAAAAAGUAGUGCAAGUCAAACAGGGAGGCAAAACAGGACAAGAAUGUUUCUCCAACUCAGUAAUACGAGAUUUAGCAAGAUUCAAUUCAGAUUGCAGGAUUGGACAAGAAACACAAGCACCAAGUAAAGCAGAACCAGAGUGAAGUUUUUCCAACUCAAACUUAGCAUUUUCAAAUUUAUCAACAAUGGAGGCAUACUUAGAUUGCAACUCAGAAAGUGAAACCAUAUGCGCAGAGCACUCUUCACAUUCUACUUCAGCAGGAGUAGCAUCUUUUAAGACUUUUAAUUCAGAAUUGACUCUAUCAUACUCAGCCUUAAGUUUUACUAAAAUUUUAUUUUGUUUAUCAACAAUUUUUGUCAAUUCUUUAAUUUCUUCUUCUGCUGAAUUUUGUACCUCAUUGUCAGAAGAGUUGUCGCUGCGAUCAGAAGCCACAUCGUCAUCCAAGGCCAUGGUGCACAUCCCUCCCUUGAUGUCGGCGAGGAAGCAGAGUCCGUCAGUUUUCUUUUUGGGCAGCUCAUCCUCGGAGUCUGAAUCACUCGAGUUCGAAGAGGCAUCUGAAACAAAAUCACCAAGAGAAGAAAACAAAACAUGUGUAGCCUUUUUUAUUUGUUUAUCAGUGUACUUCUGGCCAUUCUUCUUCAUGCGCCUGUCACCCUUCUUUUUCUUCUUCUCCCUUGAUUGUUCCUGGCGCCUGGAGUUGUUGCCCUGCUCAAAUGUUCUCAUCUUGUUCGGGCAAUCAGCAGCAAAGUGGCCUUGCUCACCACAGCUGAAACAUCCUUCUGAGCGUCUUCUGUUGCGUCGGUUCUCAUAGACUCUCUUGAAUUUGUUGGAGAGCAGCACCAACUGAUCAUCAUCUAGCGCCUCCAACUCAUCAUCUGCAACAUGACAUAAAGAUGACAAAGCAAAGCUGGGAGAAACUGGAUUAGUGUUAAUGUUAGUCUUACUCCCAGAAACCAAAGCCAUAGGAACAUCAGAAGAAGAAACACCAGUGGGAUUUUUCAAUUUGCGCUUGGAGAGGACAUCAAUCUCUUUUGAUUUGAGCUUAUUGAAAAGCUCAUCAGUGGUAAGAGUCUCAUAGCCAGCGGACUCAACGAUCGCCUCUACUUUCAUAUCCCACUCAUCAAUAAGUGAAUGCAACAAUCUGAGAGCCCUUACAAGGUCAUCAUAAGGCAUAUCCUUAUUAAGGGCUCUCAUUUUGUUUACAAUCACUUGAAACCUUGCAAAAAGAUCUUUAAUGGAUUCACCAGGCAAUUGAGAAAAAGCAUCAAACUCUUUUCUGUGAAUUUCGAAUUUUCGUGUUUUCACAGCGUUGGAGCCUUCAUGAUAUUUCUUUAACUUAUCCCAAAUCUGAAAGGCUAGCUCCUCACUGGAAAUACGAUCAUACUCAGGUUUACAAAGAGAAGCUUGCAAAAUAUCAACUACCCGGUUAUUUGCCUCAAGAAGAGCAACAGCAGCAGGAUCAGUAGGGUCCUCUACAGGAAUCACAUAUGUAGAGUUUUGUAUGAUCCUCCACAGAUUCAUCCCCUUCCCCUUUAAAUAAGCUUUCAUACGCGACUGCCAAUAGUCAUAAUCAGUACCAUCAAAAUGCGGAGCGCGUGUAUUGUAUUUUUCGGCGGUCGCCAUGGUUUUCGUAACCGAUUAAGAUAUAGAAAACCUUAACCUGGCUCUGGUACCAAUUGAAGGACUGAAACUAGCGACCAGAGGGGGGGUGAAUGGGAGCCUCACAAAAAUUCGCGGAAGCAAUUUGAGUAAAAUCAGAAUAAAAUUUAUUUGCAAUUUCCAACACAGAUAAAAAGACAGGGGUAAGCAAAAAGCUAAAUCACGUGAUAAAGACCCACUAAACAAAAUAUUAAACAAAAGAGCACAUGGUUGCAAAAAGGUUGUUUACUGUUCCUAGAAAGUGACCUCACCUUCCCUGGUGCAUGCGUGAGUGAUGUUUCUAGAAACAAUAUUAAUGUGUAAUAUUGAAAGUGCUAAUGAGAAGGAAAUUUGCAAAGCAGAGACACGACCUGCAAGUCACCUGCAGGCACAUGCGUGCGCUGUUCGGAAGCAGAACGCUGUUCCUGGCCGGUCACCUCCCUUGUACGGGGCACACACAGUAAAAUCCAGAGACGUGCGCUUCAGUAGAGCAGGCAGCGUACGAACUAAUCGUACGAGCUCAUCGGCGGCUGGCCCUGGUGCGACGCUGCGAGCCGUGGCUGACCGCCAGGAGCAGACCUUGUCCUCCCGCAACGAUGUGUCCCUGAACAGCAAAACGGGAACAACCAAACCGGCGGCGCAAACAACGAAAACAAAGGGAACGGAGGAAAAUCGGAUCUCGCACGAACAAAGAACAAAUCACAAGGACGAAUGAUUAAAGUGUAAUUAUUCUACAAAAGUGCAUCUAGCCUCCGCCCGAUCGUCCUCCCUCUCUUCAUUGGAGAGAUCAACAAAAAUCCCUCGCUAGUAUUGAAUCCCUAGGCUAGACAAAAAGCGAGAAAGCAAGAGAACCCUCUCAACCCUAGGUGCCACAUAUUUAUAUCCUUAGGGUGGCACGACCUAUUUACACAUAACCCCCUACGCUAAAUAAAUCUAACGUAGGGGCGUAAAUUCCAAUUACGUCCUCCAUGGUAAAUUCCGCGAUGUCCGCAAUCCCUCCAUCUCUACGACGUGAUCUUCGCGAUGUCGCCGCACGACCAUCCGAAAUCGUAUCGCGAUCGUCGGAAUUUCCAUCUUGGGCCAACGCCUGUCGCACGGGCGUCCCGAUACGAUGCAUGGCUUUGUGGCUCAACCAGCGAACCCCGGAUUUUGUGGCAUAAUCCGGAAACCUCCCUCGACGUCCUCCCGCCGUGUAGCCAGGUACAGUAGAUGUACACCGCACGAUCGCCUGUCCCUCGAACGCAAGCCUCGAUCCGCCCUUCUCCGCCCCCGCGGUUUUUCAACGUGGUAUCCUAUCUUCGUUCUUCACUCGUCGCCGCAUGUACCUUGUCUCCACCUGUCACCUGCAACCACAACCUACCAAGAGACACGUCACACGCACACCGUGUUAUCAAUCGCUCAUCACCAAGGUGCUAGCCCACCGGCAUCUCAAUCUCCCCCUUGAUGAUUCCAGAUAGCAUUGGUCGCCUAAAAGACACGUCCGUGUUAGGCGUUUACUACACUAGCUUGUCAGGCAUCAUACCUUGAUCACAAGGAAAUCUUACACAGUUGAAAGCUCUCUGUGCGUACGAUAUAGCAACUUGGAGGGUUCAAUUCCAGCAAGCUUGGGGAACUUAAAGAAUCUUUUUAUCCUCGAUCUCGGUUUCAGGUCGAAGCAGAGCAUAAACCUUUCUCAAGACUACGAAGUUACCAUAGAGCAGAUCAGUAUGAGGGCCAGGCUAUACCCUAUCAACACCUCCCCUCUUGCCCUUUCGGUAAGAUUACCUCAAACUAUAGUCUUUAAUUAAUUAGCCAAGACCAGAGCCAUAUAGUUCCAAGUUUAAUCAUUGAGUUUAUUAAAACCAUCAUAACCCAAGGUAUUGCAACUAAGCAUAUCUACCCAACAAACAGGUAAAACCCAGGUUGACAAGGAAUGAUCAUAAAGAUUAGGUAAACCUUAAUAGGACCCAUCAAUAUUAGAUGCAGAGCAAUGCAAAAGUGAUUAAAUAUAGUUAUUGAGAUAAAAGCACAAGGACACACUUGCCUUUCUCCAAAGAAUAGCUGCUCAGAUUAUCUUCAGCUCUUGUUCCUUAAAGCUCUCGAACAACGUUCCUUCUACUUGCAUCAAUCAUCGGCACAAGCAUACAAAGCAAACAACAAUCAUAACUAAGAACAAUACAUCAAUCAUAGUAAAUCUUUAAAAGAGCGUACUAAAGGAUAAGGCUCGAAUCUAAGGUCAUGCUAACACAAGAAACGCUGGGAACGAAACUAUGGUUGAAAAGACAAAGCUAUCGAGAGAUUUGAAUUAUAAAAGAAAGAGAAGCCUAUGUGCUUCAUAUAUUUUAAUAAAGAAAAGAAUGUAAAUAUAUUUUAGAGAAACAUCCUUAGAAGGUUAUAUUUAUAUAUGAAAAGAUGAUGUAGAACUUAGUCAAAUUUUAUUUAUAAAUAUUCAAGUAAACAUUUAAUUUGAAAAUAAAGUAUAUGUAAACAUCAAGGCGCAUAGCUUUAUGAUUCAGGUUGAACUAACCAAAUAUAAUUCAAAAACAUAUUUAUAUUUAUAUUAGUCAAAUUAACAUAUAAUUAUGAAAACCAAAGAUGUAACUUAUGUAGCUUUUAUUUAGAAAACAAAUUGAAUAAACAUUAAUCAAUUUAAGUUUAAUUAUGAACCACCGUGGUGCAUCUCUAAUUCGCUUUUAAUUGAAAGAGUUAUUUAAAUAAGCAUUAAUAACUAAAUUAACAUUUAUUAUGAAAAGCGGUUAUAACACUAAGUAGCUUUUAAUUAAAGAAGACAUGUUUAACAUGCAUUAAUCAGAUUAAUAUUAAAUUUAUUUUAAAACAUGCAUGAUGGAAAGAUCACUACUAACAUGUAAUUUGUGUUAUCAUGAACCUAAGAAUGGAUAUAAACGGAGCUGUAACGAGGAGUCCAUGGGUUAAACAAGGUUGCAGGGCCUAAUCGCGAUUAACGAAAGGUUAUUGGGGCUAGCGAGGAAGAUUUACAAGACAUUGGAAUAGAGCUCACCAUUAGGUCAAAGCAUAGGGUUACAUCUGUUAAAGUGCGCAGGUUGGACUUGGUUGCACGGAUCCAAUAUAAUCAGGGACAUGGAUGAAAAUAAAUAAGACACAAGGAAAAACUAACUAUUUAAAGAGCUUCCAGGGGCCUAUGCACAGAAGCACCAUAGCUCAGCAUCCGGACGGGCUCCUAGACGGCAAAAUCAUCGUGUCAGAUUUAUAAGCCCAGCAAUGCACCAGGGGGUUACCCAAGUGGUUGAUUUGUAGGUGAGGGUGAUUGCGAAACCAAGAACUCAAAGGUGAUCGCGAGAACACGAAGCGACACGAAGGUUUUAGAUAGGUUCGGAUCUCCAGAGAGUAAUAUCCUACGUUCUGUAUGCUGGUGUGUAUUGCUUGAGAUUGAUCUGAUUGUUGGGAUGCCUUAUAAUGAAUCUAAUCUACUCGAUAGUUACAUAGAAAGUAAUAUGAGUUGGACAACAAUACGCGUUCCAUGAUAUUCGGGCAGAUUUGAACUGUCUUGUUGCCUUGACUUACACUCCAAGUAACUUCAUGCCCUUGGCCCGCACGCCCUGGUCGGGCGGGCCCUACUUGUCAGGUCCAUCUAGUAUCCUAGUUGAUGGGGGCUCAUGGGGUACCCAUAUCCCUCAAGCUCCCGAGCGAUGUGUAGGCGAACAGGAACUUGAGGUCAUCACAGCGAAACUUGAAAUGAAGUCGGCUGAAGCUGCGAAGGCGUCAUGGCGACGGAGAGACUGUGCAGUGCUCAAAAGAAGAAAAUUUGAGCAAACACAGAGCCAACGCAUAGAGCAAAGACGAGUGCUGAGUUGAUGGAUGCUGGCAUCUAGCAGGUCGGAGUGAAGGUUAUGGAGGGUGUCGCAAGACGCACUCCGUAGGAGUAGUCCCCAAGCAUUGAAGCGAUUAAGAUAAUCAGUACAAUGGUCAAAGAAGAAAAAAUUGUCUUCUGAAGCAGAUCCUAGUGCCUGAACACAAGGAUGGGCGCAGCCACAGAGGCCCGCCGACCAGAAGUAGGCACCCAGACCCAAGGACGAGGACUGGCAGGACCGCGGAGCCACGGCGACCUGAAAUAGGCACCCAACCCCCAAGAAUGAGGAGUAGCAGAGCUGCGGAGGCAUGCCGACCUGAAGUAGGUGCCCAGCCCCCGAGGACGAGGACUAGCGGAGCCAUGGAGGCAUACCGACUUGAAAUAGGCGCCCAGCCCCUGAGGACAAGGACUGGCAGGGCCACGGAGGCACGCCGAUAACAAUUAGGCGCCCAACCCUGAGCAUGAGUAUGAGGACUGGUGGAAGCACGUCGAGUCGCCUCCCGCCCUGAGCCGAGGCAGAGAGGUAGGCUGGGCGAUGGGAGGCACACCGAGUCAUCUGCGCCCACCAGCCGCCGAGUCUGGGAGCCGGACGAGUCACAGAAGCAUGCCAAGUCACCUCAUGCCCUGAGCCAGAGAGGUCAGCCGGGUGACGGGAGGCACGCCGUGUCGUCUGCGGUGCCCAGCACCCAAGCCUGGGAGCCGGCUGAGCCACAGAAGCACGCCAAGUCGCCUCCCGCCCUGAGCUAGAGAGGUUGGCCGGGUGAUGGGAGGCACGUCGAGUCGUCUGUGGCGCCCAAUCCCUGAACCUGGGAGCCGGACGAGCCACAGAAGCAUGCCAAGUCGCCUCCCGCCCCGAGCCAGAGAGGUUGGCCAGGUGUUGGGAGGCAUGCCGAGUAGUUUUUGAGCUGUAAAAGGACAAUACAAUCAUUAUGUAGCAUAGUGUAGAUCAUUCAAUAAUUUAACAACUCAGAAGUUUAAUUCGAUAUAGAAGUAAACUCUUGCGCAUCCUGCUAUUGUAGGUCAAGUAAUUUCCCAGGUAGUUAGCCUGUUACGUUUAAGCACCUAGCUUUGCUGACCACUGCUCACGGAGAGGACAGCUUAUCUCAGGCUAUAGCGUUGGGGCUGACCCGAUGCUCGCAUAUAGGAGACGCGCAUGAUGAGUCAAGGUUUCACGAAUUAAGGCGUGUGCUACUCGAGUACUUUAGCAACCGUUAAGAGGGACGGACAAGCCACAAAUCAGCCGGAACUCUACGGAAAAGCACCAGCAUGAGCUGGGCACCCAUGGGGUGUAGCCCUCGACCGCCCGUGUAGUGGACGGACCAAGCUGUAUAAGUAGUCGGGGUGCGAUCAAGGUGGUCGGUGAAAGUCACGGAGACAUAGGAGAGCCGAGGUGGUCGGCGAAAGUCACAGGGACAUGUAAGAGCCGAGGCAUAUGUAGGUAUACGGAAGCCGUAAAAUAUUUAAUUGUAAAUAAGACUUACCUUGAUUCAUGAUUGAGUCGGAGAACCCACAUGUCGUCUUCGCGUUUAGGCUUAGAAGCUCCUGAGCGUGGCCGGCGGACAGUUGUUGGUGAAGCAAACUAGUCGGUCUCCAUGCCCAACUAAUUUGUGUCGAGACUGAGUUGUUGGAGUUGUCAGGGACGCAUCUGUGGUUGCGAUCGUGGUAUGCUGCUGCCGAGUCGACGCGGCCGUCGGGUCGUGGUCGGCUGGCCGCCACGCUCGCAGUACAGCGUGCAUGGGUUGUGCUGCCAAACCAAGGGUGCAUGUACAUCUUUCCGAACCUCGUAAGGAAGCCCUCACGUAUUAAGGAAAUAAGAAAAAAAAUUAUUAGCUGCCGUAGUAAGCACCGAGCAACGUAGGAGAUCUACUGGAUAGAAUAGAUUAAAUAAUAAAGGGAAGGGAGAAUUGUUCCUUUUUUUUCCGUGGCAGAUCUGACGUGUCUGCAGGCAACAAGUUGGGGUCCACGUGUCGUGCUAAAUCAACCGGAGGCGUGGUGCUUGGCCUCCUGCGCCUCGCAAAUCUUCUGCAUCUGGAGCAUCCGCUCUAUGACGAGCUCGUACUGGCACUUCUCGUAGGCGUGGCACUCAGGCUCGCACUUCCAGGAGAGGUAGAACUCGGAGGUGCGCGCACUGGUCGUGGCAGGCGAGCAGCACCCGGGACUCCGCCAUCUCCACCUGCGUGAUGAUCUGGGGCUUCAAGGAGCCGAGCUGCACGCCGGCCGCUGCCGCCGCCUCCAUUUGUCACUUUCUUUCCCUCUCUCACCGGCGAGGUCAUUCUGUCGAUAGAUGGGUGCUGCGGGUUUGGUGCGGCGUGGGUAGGUGGGGUGUAGCAAGGACAUGGAGAGAGAUUGCAUACCUACUGGGCAAGCGGCAUGAUGGUCUUGGAUGGAGAACUUGCUCCAUCGGAGUAAAUCUGAUGGAUGCUGAGUUGACGACGGGCGUCGAGUCGAAGUCCACCGGCAUGCUCCCAAAGCGGAGCUGAAUUGGACUGGCGAGGAAUUCCUUCAUGCUCUUGGGGAAAACAAUGCCGGGGUGGGAUGCCAUCGAGCUCGCUGGGGAGGAUCUCAUAAUCACCUGUACCUGGCGUCCCAAUUGUCGGAUUUAUAAGCCCAGCAAUCCACCAGGGGGUUACCCAAGUGGUUGAUUUGUAGGUGAGAACGAUUGCGAAACCAAAAACUCAAAGGUGAUCGCGAGAACACAAAGGGACAUGAAGGUUUUAGACAGUUUCGGACCUCCGGAAAGUAAUACCCUACAUCCUGUAUGCUGGUUUGUAUUGUUUAAGAUUGAUCUGAUUGUUGGGAUACCCUCGGGGGUGCCCUUGGCCACUUUGUAUAGGCUAACGACCAAGAGGUGCAAGUUGGUUUGGAUCUAAUCUACUCGGUAGUUAAAUGGAAAGUAAUCUGAGUCGGACUACAAUACGCGUUCCAUGAUAUCCGGGCAGAUUUGAACUGUCUUGUUGCCUCGUCGUGCACUCCAAGUAACUUCAUAUCCUCGACCUGCACACCCUGAUCGGGCGGGUCCUACUUGUCAGGUCUGACCAGUAUGCUGGGGUACCCAUAUCCCUCACCUUGGUGCUCCGACAGUUAGGGUCGGCGGCAAGGAUGGGGAUUGGAAGCGGAGAUCGAGGGAACUUUAUGGAGAUGCUCACCGUUCCAUCCGGAAUUUGGCUAGCGGCGGAAGAACAUGGCAGCUAGCUCGGGUCUUUGCAAGUGACGGUACUUCAGUGGUGGAGCGGCAACGAAGAUUGGUGGCAGAGCUGCUCCUCGACGUCACGAAGCUCCCUGAGGCUCCAACUUGCUCCGAUAGUUGACGGGCACAGCGAAUCGGCCAGAGAAGGCCGGCGGCGGCUCUUGGCUUUGGCGGAUGUGGGGUAUGGCGGUGCUCUCGCAAGUUGGGAAGAGCGGCGGAGUGUGGCAGGGCAGCACCAGAGGCACUAUCUCGACUUUAUAGGCACGUGGGUCCACGCCUGCCUUGGCGCACACGCUGAGGUUCGGCGGUGGCGAUGCCUCAAGCUGCCGGUGGCCGAUGGGCCUAGCGGGCUUGGCUGAGCCAUCAGCUGGGCCGGGUCGGUGCGGGUUGGAUGGAGAGGUUCGGGCCCCAAAGGCUUGGCCCGAUCGAUUAGGAUUUUCCUUUUUUUCAGAAAUGAUUUCUCGUGAAUGAAAAAUCUAGAAAAAUUCUAGAUAAUUCAUUUAAACAACAAAAAAACUCUAAAAAUCCAAAAAUUCUAGGAAAAAUCCUAGAGAUAGUUUGGGGGGGGGGACAGGAGGAGUCCAAAUAAAAUACUUGGAGGGCGUGAAAAGGAUUCUAGAGCCUUUCAAAAAUUGGAUUUAGCUGUGGAAAAAAAUGAGAAUAAAUCUUAGAAAAAUAUGGAAAUUCUCAUAAGAACCUAAUUGGCAUCUAAACGUAUUUCAAAACCUUUGCACUCAUGAAAUACCAAGAUGCAUCGGCAUAAAUGCAACACAUACACAGAACCAUUGUAUUUAAUUCAGAAAACACAAUCUUUUUCCUAUACUAAAUUUCCUGUCAAGAAAAUAAAUAUUGGAAAAUUUUAAAAUUAUGAGAAAAUCAUUGUUUAAUUAUUCUUUUUAAUCACAUCCUGAAAUUUCAAAAAAUUUAGGGUCCAAAAUUCUUUUUACGGAAUUUGACAUUCAUGUCCAAAUUGGAUCUAUCCUUCAAUGAUCUGCAAAGUGAAGUGCCUAAAGGGUUUUUCUUGCAAAUGCAACUUACAUGUCGAUUUAUGGAAAUGAUCAGCUUUGUGGUCGAAUACCUCAACUUCAUUUAGCCCCAUGCUCCAUGUCUAGUGCAAAAAAGAAAUAAAGAAAUUUGUCGAAAACCCUUGUGAUCACCCUAACAUCAAUCAAUGCAGUUGUAUUCUCAGUUUCAGUACUUGAUGUAAUUGUGUUGAUCCGUAAGAAGCUUAGGAAGAGGCAUGAAAGUCAACUCAUAUCCACAACUGAGGAACUGUAUGAAAGAGUUUCUUAUCAUGCUUUGUCAAAUGGGACCAAUGGAUUUUCAGAGGACAAUUUACUUGGACAAGGAAGCUAUGGCAUGGUUUUAUAAAUGUACUUUACAUGACCAGGGCACUACAGUAGCUGUAAAGGUGUUUAACACACAACAAUCUGGGACUUCUAGAAGUUUUGUCACUGAAUGUGAGGCACUCAGAAGGGUGCGUCACCGUUGUCUCGUAAAGAUCAUCACUUGUUGCUCAAGCAUCAAUCACCAGGGUCAAGAGUUCAAGGCACUAGUUUUUAAGCUCAUGCCAAAUGGUAGCCUAAAUGGUUGGCUUCACCCAGAGUCUGACACACUUACCCAGACAAAUACUCUUAGCCUUGAACAAAGGCUACACAUUGCUGUCGAUAUCAUGGAUGCUUUGGACUAUCUUCAUAAUCACUGUCAGCCAUCAAUCAUUCAUUGCGAUCUCAAGCCAAGCAACAUCUUUCUUGCGGAAGACAUGAGUGAGUGCCCGAGUUGGAGGUUUUGGCAUAUCAAGAAUCCUUCCAGAAAGUGCUAAUAAAACCCUGCAAAAUUGGAAUAGCGCAACUGGAAUAAGAGGCACCAUUGGUUAUGUUGCACCAGGUAAUGAAAGAGAUGUUUUUGGUAUUUGUAAAAUGUUCUUAGUUCUUACGUAUACAAGACCUGCUGACCUUUGUUUUUUUUCCCAAUCAGAGUAUGGUGAAGGUUCUUCUGUCUCAACUCAAGGUGACGUUUAUAGCCUCGGCAUAUUGCUGCUUGAGAUGUUUACUGGAAGGAGCCCAACGGAUGAGAUAUUCAAUGAUUCUUUGCAUUUGCACAAGUUUUCAGAGAAUGCUCUUCCAGAGAGAAUAUGGGAUAUAGUUGACAAUAUGGAUGCACACAGAUGCCUAUAACAGCACUAUAAGAAGUGGAAUUAAGAAUUGCUUGCUUUCUGUCGUUUCUCUUGGAAUAUCAUGCUGGAAGAAACAACCUAGGGAGCGGAUCCCGAUUCAGGAUGCAGCCAUUGAGAUGCACUCUAUUAGAGAUUCGUAUCUCAAGUUUGCCAGGUCUCUUUUGGUGGAGCAUGGAGUAGUAGCAACAACUCACAGUGAUUUCCCACAACAGUGAAUAUACAUAGGACUGAAAAUGGGCAAGAUGUCUGCAGGUGAUCAGUUUACCUGAAAUAACUGAAGAUGUAUGAAGCUUCAGCUUUAUAAUUCGUCCAUGCAUUUGUUUGCAUCAGAUAUAUGGAAGUAUAAAAUAAGUUUAGAAAAUGUUUCAAAAUAGAUUAGAUCCAGAGGUUUUACUUGUCGUCUGUAUGACACAUUUUUUGUAGAGAAUUCAGUAAUAUGUAUGAUUCAUAAUACAAUCCGUGCUCUGCAAAUUUCAGAUAGCACNNNNNNNNNNNNNNNNNNNNNNNNNNNNNNNNNNNNNNNNNNNNNNNNNNNNNNNNNNNNNNNNNNNNNNNNNNNNNNNNNNNNNNNNNNNNNNNNNNNNGAGAGAGACUAGUGUUCAGUUGGUUGGAAGGAUGAGAGAGAGAGGAGAGUUUGGAUGAUAGAGAGGUUAGUGUUCACCUGGUUGGAAGGAUGAGAGGGAGAUGAGAGAGUUCGGAUGAGGAGGUGGAGAGUUCGAAAGAGAGAGAGGUGAGAGUUUGGAUGAGAGAGAAAGCAGCUUAGAAGGAUGAGAGUGAGAAAGCGGUAUUCAGCUGGAUGGUGGAGACUUCAUAUAUUACUAACUAGCAAGGUGUCCGUGCGUUGCUACGGAGAAAUGACGUUGCUUAGCGCGUAAUGUUUUUUAUCGUGUCGUGUAGCGGACCAUAUUUUUUAUCAUGUUGUGUAACUUUUUUAUUUUAGUUGUAUUAGACUGGCCACUUGAGUGUGUCCAUAUCCCUACCGUGCGGAGACCGCUUGCCAUCGAACUUGUUAUCUCUUUCUCUAUCUUGAGAUUGGUAGGCUUCUACAGCAAUUCUGCACAAAGAAGGCCCCACUUCGCCCCGAUCCCGUUAGUCCCGCGCCUACCCUCUCCCUCUCCGAUCCUUGCCACCAGCUCCUCCUGGUCCAGGUUGGGCCCGUGAUGUAGCGGCCUGUUAUCCUUCCACCGUUGGAAGCGAGCAGUGAUCGCUGCUCUGUGAACCCAACCUCACGCCGUUCCUACCACUUCAGGUCCAAUGAAGCCUGAGCUUUCGCUUGGGCCAAACAGGCCACUACCAACUUGGAACGAGCAGGGCCAGCAAAGGCACACAAUAGAUCCAAGCCCAGAGCCCAGAUACUUACAUUGACAAAGUGUUGAAGCGGUUCAGCAUGGAAGAGGCAAAGAAAGGGUUCUUGCCUAUGUCACAUGGCAUACAUCUCAGCAAGACUCAGUGUCCUUCGACUGCUGAUGAGCGGGAUCGCAUGAGUAGAGUGCCAUAUGCCUCGGCUAUUGGAUCUAUCAUGUAUGCAAUGAUAAGUACUCGCCCAGAUGUUUCAUAUGCGCUAAGUAUGACAAGUAGACACCAAUCUGAUCCAGGUGAGAGUCACUGGACAGCGGCGAAAAACAUUCUUAAGUACUUGAGAAGGACUAAAGAUAUGUUCCUCGUCUAUGGAGGUGAGGAGGAGCUCGUUGUAACAGGUUACACCGAUGCUAGUUUCCAAACCGACAGAGAUGAUUCAAAGUCACAAUCAGGAUUUGUCUUCACGCUAAAUGGUGGUGCUGUUAGUUGGAAGAGUUCCAAGCAGGAGACGGUGGCCGAUUCUACGACAGAAGCCGAGUACAUCGCGGCUUCGGAAGCCGCGAAGGAAGGUGUUUGGAUAAGGAAUUUCCUCAUUGAGCUUGGUGUGUUCCCGAAUGCGUCCAGCCCAUUGAAUCUCUACUGUGAUAACAAUGGGGCAAUUGCGCAAGCAAAGGAGCCAAGGAACCACCAGAAGAACAAACACGUAAUGCGGCGAUUUCAUCUCAUUCGAGACUUCGUUAACCGGGGUGAGAUCAAGAUAUGCAAAAUACACACGGAUCUGAACAUUUCUGAUCCGUUGACAAAACCACUCCCGCAGGCUAAGCAUGAUGCGCAUGUAAGAGCUAUGGGUAUUAGGUACCUUCUAGAUUGACUCUAGUGCAAGUGGGAGACUGUUGGAGGUAUGCCCUAGAGGCAAUCAUAGAGAUGAUGAUAUUCCAUUUGUAUCCAUGAUUUGUAUAUUGUGUUCAUUGAAUAUCCAUUAAAGGCUACUUGAAUUGAUUGCAAUUAUGUGAAUUGUAUGUGAAACUCUUUACUUGUAUGGUUAUUCUAAAGUUGUCCCUAGUCGGAGUUCAUGUAAGGACACACAUGAAUAUAAGACUAGCACAUGUAUUAGUUGAUGACUAUGUUUCACAAGUCAUGGACAUGGAGAUGUUGAACUAAUAAUGUGGACACAUGUGGAGACAUGUGUUAGGACUGACCCAACACGAGAAGUAGUUCUCUCUUUAAACAACAUAUACGCUUUGUCCUUAGACCUGAGAUUGUCGCAUGUAUUCUAGAUGUGGAUCGACCUACUUAGGGGCUAUCAAACGCUACACCGUAACAGGGUAGUUAUAAAGGUAGCUUUCGGGUUUGUCAAGAAGCAUGCUAUGAGACAUGGUCAAUCAAGAUGGGAUUUGCCCCUCUCUGAUUGAGAGUGAUAUCUCUGGGCCCCUCGAGUGAUCGGAUCCGAAAAUGCAUGGCCAUGCUACGUACGGUUAAGAGUUAACCUACAAAGGGAUUCCGAAUCAUAGGAUCGAGAAAGAGUGGUCGGCUUGAAGCUAGACCAAAUAUCGUGAGGCAAAGGGAAUAGCAUGUAUAUCAUGUUGUGAUGGUUCGUCUGAUAUGAUCUUCGUAUACGUAUAGGAGUUGGCACGUCUUGCUAGAGGCCGCUACCGACUAUUGGACCGAGUAGGAGUACUCGGGCCAUGUCUAUACGUAUCCGAACCCAUAGGGUCACACACUUAAGGGGCUGGAAGCCCAAUUCGGAUCUGAUCCGAGUUGGAUUAGGUUUAGGAGUACUAAUGGGCCUCGGAUCCAGAGGCCCGUCAGGAACCCCUAUAAAUAGAGGGGUGGGGGCGCCCUAGGGUUUACACCUUUUGGCGAAACACUUCUGCCGCGCCUCCCACGCCCUCGCCUGUUGCAACUCGCGGAUCUAGCAAUCCGGCUUGCGACGCUUCCUCCCUGCACGUGUGGAUACCUUGGAGGUGUUGCGCCUGCAGCACUUGGACGAGCCAUCGACGAGCCGCCGACGAGCCACGACGAGCCGACGACGAGCCGCGGCACCGGAGGCGAUCUUGCUGUGCACGUGGACGAGCUUGCUGUGCACGUGGACGAGCUGCUGAGGAGCUGCUGGACGUGAUCGACUACGUACGACUACGUGAUCAUCUUCACUGCACCGACGCAUAUCUACAUCUUCCGCACCAGUAGUGCGUCGAGUGGUAAUCCCGUAAUCCUUAUACGGCAGCUCUUCCUGGUUAUACGCGGUAGAAAAUUUUGUUUUGCGCUAGCGUAGCCUACCUCGUAUCCCAACAGUGGUAUCAGAGCCGUAGCUGCUUAGUUUUGGAUUCGGGAUGUGUGCAUAUGGAGAUAUGCGAGUUCUCUGUUUGAUCUAUGUCCUGAUUUCGUGCCCUUGCUGCAAUGGUAGUGUAACGACAUACUCCUACCGGUCGGUUUCCGCCAUCGGAGUUAAGUGAUACACGUAAAUCCAGUUGCAGUGAGGGAAGAUCAAUAUGAUUGGUCAAAUCGAGAUCCAGGGUCAUACGCCAGGCGCAUUAGAUGUGCAAUAGUAGAUGUGAUCUACUGCCGGGGUCGGGAUUUUGCCGUAUGCGCAUGCUUCGGUAAAUCAGCCGUAACUUUUUGGUACGAUCUCGGAUCGGGGCGAUUUCUAUACGAAAAUUGAUCUACAGAAAAAGUUACACAUGAAUUUCAACGGCUUCGCCGUUUUCGGCGAAAUUAGAUUUGCCAAAUUCGGCUUGGAAGAUGGAGUUUCGGGCCUCCCAAGUUUGGAACGUUAGGACGCCUAACUCUCUUUUGCAGGAUGUAUGUAUAUAUCUUGUGAUCAGUAUGGCCCCCUUAUGUAUGUGAUGCAUGUGUGUAACUUAUUCGUGACCUGCGUGUCACGCGUACGGCAACACGGCAGGAGCCAUAUGUGUUGUCACUUUAAUGUAUUUAAUGGUCUGCGUACCAAUCUGUGAUGAUCCAAGCAACUGUGUAAUCUUCAUUACUAGAUUCUUUACUAGCUAUUAGGCGUAAUAGCAUAGUUCUUGGAGGACUCAUCACCAGGAGGAUGGCGCACAUGGAACAUGGAGAUGGAGAUCACCAUGGUGAACAGGUUCUAUGGAGAUGGAGAUCACCAUAUGAAAAACGGGCCAUACUGUGUCACAACUGUGUGAAUGCUAUUCUGUUUAUGUUUUACUUUCUGCAUGCUGUGAUGUUAGAAGUAGAACGAUCCCUCACAAAGUUUAAGUUAGUAUGCCCUCCCAACUAAAACUUGCACCGUCCCAUGUCUUGUACAAUUAGUGGUGGGUCUAUGAAAUUAGGGUGCCACUAGUUUUCCUUGACUAGACGGGUUUGUGUCGGACACUUACACGCAUAAGGGUUGGUUAGCUUAACGAGGUCAUCUUAACGGUUAAGGACCUUGGGGCAUAAAGGUUGGGCGCCGAGACAUAGAGAUGUCACCCAACAACAGGAGUCAUAUGCGAUAUGAUUAGCAAAAGUUGCUUACCGAUCUACCUCGUUUGCUAGCGGUGAUGCUAAAGCUCACUAGUAGACUUGUUAGUUGUGGAUCCUGAAUCACUAAGUUUCAAUAGAGGGAUAUUGAUUUUAGUGGGAGUAGAUUCUGUUAAAAUAGUUUUUGCUCUAUCAUGGAUACGUUUGUCUUAGUGUAUUUUGCAUUACUUUUGUUGUAGAUUAAAUGGCACCUAGCAACACCACCGCAUCGUUUGCUUUGCGUUCGGUCCUUGAGAAGGACAAGUUGAAUGGAACAAACUACUCGGAUUGGAUCCGUAACCUGAGAAUUGUUCUCAGGGAUGAGAAAAAGGAAGAUGUUCUAGACACCCCACUACCACCAGUACCUGUUGAUGAUGCAUCUGCUGCCGUUAAGGCUGCUUACAAGAAGGCAUUUGAUGCUAAUCUUGAGGUAAGCUGCCUUAUGCUUGCUUGCAUGGAACCCGAGCUGCAGAUGCAGUUCGAAACAAAUCAUGAGGCUUACGAUAUGAUCGUGGCGCUCAAGGACAUGUUCCAGACACAGGCUAGGACCGAAAGGUUCAAUGUGUCCAAAGCCUUUCUGGAGUGCAAGUUAGCAGAAGGCGCAGCAGUAGGACCACAUGUAAUCAAGAUGGUUGGUUACACUCAGCGAUUGGAGAAGCUGGGCUUCCCAAUGGGCAAAGAGUUGGCCACUGACUUCAUUCUCUCAUCUCUUCCGCCUAGCUAUGGGAACUUCAUCUCGAACUACCAUAUGCAUGGGACGGAGAAGGGUCUGAAUGAGCUGUGUGGUAUGCUCAAGACAGCAGAGGUAGACAUUAAGAAAAGCGCUAGUACCAGCCAUGUGAUGGCUGUACAGAACAAGCCUACUUUUAAGAAGAAGGGCAAUUCUUGGAAGAAGAAGGGCAAGGCUGGAACGUCCAAGCCAAACCCACCGCCCAAGGCUAAAGCUGGACCUGCUCCAGAUAAAGAGUGCUUUUACUGUCAUGAACUUGGUCACUGGAAGAGAAACUGCAAGCAGUACCUAGCUUCGUUGAAGAACGGCGGAAGUAAGAGUACUUCUACCUCAGGUACGCUUGUUGUUUAUGUUAUAGACAACAUAUUUCUCGCUGAUACAGUUAUUAAUUCUUGGGUAUUUGAUACCGGAUCGGUUGCUCAUAUUUGCAAUUCGAUGCAGGGAAUGAUAAGAAGUAGAAGCGUGGAAAGAGGAGAAGUUGAUUUCCGCGUGGGCAAUAAUGCAAGAGUUGCUGCUUUGACCGUCGGGACGAUGCAACUCCACCUCCCGUCAGGAUUUAUUAUGGAGUUGAAUAAUUGUUAUUUUGUUCCUAGUUUAAGUCGAAACAUUUUGUCUCCUUCAUGUUUGAUGAGGGAUGGUUAUUCAUUUGCGAGUGAAAAAAAUGGUUGUGUGAAAAAAUGAUCUCUAAGAAUAAUAUGUUUAUGGCUUUUGCACCCAUUGUGAAUGGAUUAUUUGUUUUAAAUCUUGAUGGUUCACCUGUCUGUAAUGUAAGUGCUAAAAGGCCUCGGCCUAAUGAUUUGAGUCCUACCUACUUGUGGCAUUGUCGUUUGGGUCAUAUAAGUGAAAAGCGCAUGAAGAAGCUCCAUUCUGAUGGACUUCUAACUUCGUUUGAUUUUGAAUCAUACGAGACAUGUGAGGCUUGCUUGCUAGGCAAGAUGACCAAGACGCCUUUCACAGGAUUUCCUGAGAGAGCAGUAGACUUGUUGGAACUCGUACAUAGUGAUGUAUGCGGACCAAUGAGCACGACGGCUAGAGGAGGAUUCCAAUACUUCAUAACUUUUACUGAUGAUUUUAGUAGAUAUGGCUAUGUCUACUUAAUGAGGCACAAGUCUGAAACCUUUGAAAAGUUCAAGGAAUUUCAGAAUGAAGUUGAAAAUCAGCGUGGCAAGAAAAUUAAGGCCUUACGAUCUGAUCGUGGAGGCGAGUAUUUGAACCACGAGUUUAGCAAUCAUCUAAAGAGUUGCGGAAUUGUUCCACAACUUACGCCGCCUGGAACACCUCAGAGAAACGGUGUGUCCGAGCGACGUAAUCGAACUUUGUUAGACAUGGUUCGAUCAAUGAUGAGCCAGUCGGACCUACCGUUGUCAUUUUGGGGAUACGCUCUAGAAACAGCAGCUUUCACACUUAAUAGGGUACCAUCUAAAUCCGUAGUUAAGACGCCAUAUGAGAUGUGGACUGGAAAGGUUCCUAGUUUGUCUUUUCUAAAGAUUUGGGGAUGUGAAGUGUUUGUCAAGCGACUUCAGUCGGACAAGAUCACACCCAAGUCGGAUAAGUGCAUUUUCGUGGGAUAUCCAAAGGAAACUUUGGGAUAUUAUUUCUACAACCGAUCAGAAGGCAAAGUGUUUGUCGCUCGGAACGGGGUUUUCCUAGAGAAAGAGUUUCUCAAAGGAGAAAAGAGUGGAAAAACAGUGCAUCUUGAAGAAGUUCAAGAUGAGCCAAUCGGGCAAGAAUCAAUGAGUGAUGCUAACGUAGCAGAACAAGUUGAGAUACCCAUGGCAAGAGAAGCACCGCCACAACCACGAAGGUCGGCAAGGCUCCGCGAAAUGCGGGAAAUAUUAUUGUUGGACAAUGAUGAGCCUGCGACAUAUGCAGAAGCAAUGAUGGACCAAGACUCCGAAAAAUGGCAGAGUGCCAUGCAAUCCGAAAUAGAGUCCAUGGGAGACAAUCAAGUUUGGAACUUGGUUGACCCGCCUGAUGGUGUUAAGGCCAUAGAGUGCAAGUGGAUCUAUAAGAAGAAAAAGGACAUGGAUGGAAAUGUUCACAUCUAUAAAGCACGACUUGUCGCAAAAGGUUUUCGACAAGUUCAAGGAGUUGACUACGAUGAGACCUUCUCGCCCGUAGUGAUGCUUAAGUCCAUUCGGAUUAUUCUAGCUAUAGCUGCAUAUUUCGAUUAUGAGAUAUGGCAGAUGGAUGUCAAGACAGCUUUCCUGAAUGGAAACCUAGCUGAGGACGUGUAUAUGAUACAGCCCGAGGGUUUUGUCGAUCCGAAAAAUGCUGGAAAGGUAUGCAAGCUUCAGAGAUCCAUUUAUGGAUUGAAGCAAGCAUCUAGGAGUUGGAACAUUCGUUUUGAUGAAGUGGUCAAAGGGUUUGACUUCACCAAGAACGAAGAAGAGUCUUGUGUUUACAAGAAGGUUAGUGGGAGCUCUGUAGUAUUUCUAAUCUUAUAUGUGGAUGACAUAUUACUGAUUGGAAAUAACAUUCCUAUGCUUGAGUCCGUAAAGACUUCACUGAAAAAUAGUUUUUCGAUGAAGGACUUAGGGGAAGCGGCAUAUAUUCUGGAUAUUAAGAUCUAUAGAGAUAGAUCGAGAAGGCUUAUAGGUUUAAGCCAAGAUACUUACAUUGACAAAGUGUUGAAGCGGUUCAGCAUGGAAGAGGCAAAGAAAGGGUUCGUGCCUAUGUCACAUGGCAUACAUCUCAGCAAGACUCAGUGUCCUUCGACUGCUGAUGAGCGGGAUCGCAUGAGUAGAGUGCCAUAUGCCUCGGCUAUUGGAUCUAUCAUGUAUGCAAUGAUAAGUACUCGCCCAGAUGUUUCAUAUGCGCUAAGUAUGACAAGUAGACACCAAUCUGAUCCAGGUGAGAGUCACUGGACAGCGGUAAAAAACAUUCUUAAGUACUUGAGAAGGACUAAAGAUAUGUUCCUCGUCUAUGGAGGUCAGGAGGAGCUCGUUGUAACAGGUUACACCGAUGCUAGUUUCCAAACCGACAGAGAUGAUUCAAAGUCACAAUCAGGAUUUGUGUUCACGCUAAAUGGUGGUGCUGUUAGUUGGAAGAGUUCCAAGCAGGAGACGGUGGCCGAUUCUACGACAGAAGCCGAGUACAUCGCGGCUUCGGAAGCCGCGAAGGAAGGUGUUUGGAUAAGGAAUUUCCUCAUUGAGCUUGGUGUGUUCCCGAAUGCAUCCAGCCCAUUGAAUCUCUACUGUGAUAAUAAUGGGGUAAUUGCGCAAGCAAAGGAGCCAAGGAACCACCAGAAGAACAAACACGUAACGCGGCGAUUUCAUCUCAUUCGAGACUUCGUUAACCGGGGUGAGAUCAAGAUAUGCAAAAUAAACACAGAUCUAAAUAUUUCUAAUCCGUUGACAAAACCACUCCCGCAGGCUAAGCAUGAUGCGCAUGUAAGAGCUAUGGGUAUUAGGUACCUUCUAGAUUGACUCUAGUGCAAGUGGGAGACUGUUGGAGGUAUGCCCUAGAGGCAAUCAUAGAGAUGAUGAUAUUCCAUUUGUAUCCAUGAUUUGUAUAUUGUGUUCAUUGAAUAUCCAUUAAAGGCUACUUGAAUUGAUUGCAAUUAUGUGAAUUGUAUGUGAAACUCUUUACUUGUAUGGUUAUUCUAAAGUUGUCCCUAGUCGGAGUUCAUGUAAGGACACACAUGAAUAUAAGACUAGCACAUGUAUUAGUUGAUGACUAUGUUUCACAAGUCAUGGACAUGGAGAUGUUGAACUAAUAAUGUGGACACAUGUGGAGACAUGUGUUAGGACUGACCCAACAUGAGAAGUAGUUCUCUCUUUAAACAACAUAUACGCUUUGUCCUUAGACCUGAGAUUGUCGCAUGUAUUCUAGAUGUGGAUCGACCUACUUAGGGGCUAUCAAACGCUACACCGUAACAGGGUAGUUAUAAAGGUAGCUUUCGGGUUUGUCAAGAAGCAUGCUAUGAGACAUGGUCAAUCAAGAUGGGAUUUGCCCCUCUCUGAUUGAGAGUGAUAUCUCUGGGCCCCUCGAGUGAUCGGAUCCGAAAAUGCAUGGCCAUGCUACGUAUGGUUAAGAGUUAACCUACAAAGGGAUUCCGAAUCACAGGAUCAAGAAAGAGUGGUCGGCUUGAAGCUAGACCAAAUAUUGUGAGGCAAAGGGAAUAGCAUGUAUAUCAUGUUGUGAUGGUUCGUCUGAUAUGAUCUUCGUAUACGUAUAGGAGUUGGCACGUCUUGCUAGAGGCCGCUACCGACUAUUGGGCCGAGUAGGAGUACUCGGGCCAUGUCUAUACGUAUCCGAACCCAUAGGGUCACACACUUAAGGGGCUGGAAGCCCAAUUCGGAUCUGAUCCGAGUUGGAUUAGGUUUAGGAGUACUAAUGGGCCUCGGAUCCAGAGGCCCGUCAGGAACCCCUAUAAAUAGAGGGGUGGGGGCGCCCUAGGGUUUACACCUUUUGGCGAAACACUUCUGCCGCGCCUCCCACGCCCUCGCCUGUUGCAACUCGCGGAUCUAGCAAUCCGGCUUGCGACGCUUCCUCCCUGCACGUGUGGAUACCUUGGAGGUGUUGCGCCUGCAGCACUUGGACGAGCCAUCGACGAGCCACCGACGAGCCACGACGAGCCGACGACGAGCCGCGGCACCGGAGGCGAUCUUGCUGUGCACGUGGACGAGCUGCUGAGGAGCUGCUGGACGUGAUCGACUACGUACGACUACGUUGAUCGACUACGUACGACUACGUGAUCGUCUUCACUGCACCGACGCAUAUCUACAUCUUCCGCACCAGUAGUGCGUCGAGUGGUAAUCCCGUAAUCCUUAUACGGCAGCUCUUCCUGGUUAUACGCGGUAGAAAAUUUUGUUUUGCGCUAGCGUAGCCUACCUCGUAUCCCAACAGCGCACCAGGCAGCACGGGCGGCCGGGGCCGGGGAGGCGACUCUGGCGUGGCCGGCUAUGGUGGGCAGGGAGAGGCAGAUGGUGGCGCAACGGCGGCAUGGAGAGACGGACGUCGGGCACGGACGGGUGAAAGGGGAGAUGGGGAAAGAAAGCUGGUCCCACCUGCCAAUGCAGCCGGGGUCGGGGUGGGGCGGGCAGCGAGGCCGAGGCCGGGCGGCACGACCGGGGCCAGGGAGGUGGCUCUGGCGUGGCCGGCUGUGGUGGGCGGGGAGACUCGGACAGCGGCGCAACGGCGGCACGAAGAGGUGGACGUCGGGCACGGACGGGUGAAAGGGGAGACGGGGAAAGAAAACUAGACCCACCUGUCAAUGCGUUAAUCUUACCUAUUAUUAAACAUCAGGGCGACCUCUCGUUGAAAAAAAAAAAUGGGCACAAGUGUUCCUCACUUUAAUAAUAAUAAUAAAGUAUAGAUAAUGUAUCAAAUAGCAUUUGUAAUUUAAUUCUAAGAAAAACUUUCUCAGUACCAAACAAGAAAAUUCAAUUGAAUCAAAUUCUACGGAAUCCAUUUCUUAUGGAAUCUAAUUGCUAGAAUAUGAUUCAUGGAAUAAGUUUCAACUCUAGGGAUCCAAACAUACCCGUAGUUAUUUCUUAUGCAGCUCAAAUCAGACGCAAGGUACGUCCUAACUAAAAGACGUAAGUUACUUUAUGUUAUCUUGUGAAUCAGUGAUUAAUUACUUCCAAUCUUAUGUAAAAAGAACUACGAGUUAAAUUCUUUGUCAGAUUUAUACUGACAAGUUACAAGCACAUGCCUCUGCAGUAACAGGCGAGCCCUAGACUAGUGGGCAAACCAAAAACAACAUGGUUCGUCAACUGAUCGAAUGCUAAUGACUAUUUUGCUAGGAGAAUGAACAUGAUUCAUACAAAAAAGGGGAGUUAGUAAAAGGGGAGCUACUAACUUGGUCAAGGUCUCCGUCCUCUGGCGUGGGGAAGGGGCCAUCUUGCUCCACUCCACGUCUGCGUGGUUGCUCGGCGGGCGCGACGGCGUCGGGUGCGGAGUGCUGACGGCGCGUAGAUAUGUCAUUGUUGAUCAGGACAUGCACUUCUAUCACCAUCUGUGGUUGGCGUCCGCGGCCGAGCGGGUCAAGGUCUCCGUCCUCUAGCGUGGGGAAACAGGAUCUCUUCAAUCAGUGCUUCUACAGAAACGGUGCACGGUCACCACGGACCAACGACAUACCAUGAGAAAAGCAGAGCUAAAUGUUGCAGUAGCAGAGUAACCGGAGACUGCAGAGCACUUGCUGCUAAAAGCUGCCUCUUAUUUUGUAUCGUCUUAACAGAAGACUUUAAGUCAGCCGCCAUUCGAUUCGAAUAUAAACUAGCAAGUUGGCCCGCGAUAAUAGCGCGGCUAGAUUUGAUACAUGUGCAUAUGCACGCCUAAUUAAAAUUGCUCACUUGUAACAAAAUAAUAACAACUUGAGUAGUUGAUUAUGAUCUUAUGUUGCAGUUUUUGCCAACUUUUCCUAGUAUUAUUGUGUUGAGUAGAAAGCCUGUGUAGAAAAAGAUACAAAACAAACAAUAGUGUCAACUACUCUCCAUGCUUGCUCAAAUGAUUUUGAAAAAAAAAAACAACCGCGCUCUAAGUCCUAGGGCGGUGAUAUUCCUCCUUACUUUCCUCCUCUCGUUUUCCUUGCACAAUCCAGGAUGACAAAUACCACAAACCACUUAGGCUCGAUCAUGUUUCAUCAUCACAUUCCUCAAAUCUUGAUCACGUUGUUGUCUUCGUUAUGCUAGCAGUACACAUCUCUCCGCCUCAUAAGAUUACUAAGGUCUCAUAAGAUUUUUGAUGGAUUUGCAUUAAUAUUAAUAUUGCCACCAAUCUAGUCUCAACCUUGCUUGUGUUCUCCAUGGUCAUGUUUUAUUCAAACUUGCAAGACCUACAAGCGCAUAUGAUGGUUCUUCUAUAUACAUAAUAUAUCGCAUCUCCUAAGACAUAUAUCGCGGGCCGGCGGCGCGCGGGGGAGCGGCGCCGGUGGAGCGGAGGCGACCGGCGGUGGGCGGAGGCGGGUGGGUGCGGGCGCAGGCGGAGGUGGGUGGGCAUGCGGGGGAGCGGCGCCGGCGGAGCGGAGGCGGGUGGGCGCGGGCAUAGGCGGAGGCGGAGGCCGGCGCGGGCGCGUGCGGAGGCGGACGGGUGGAGGCGUGCAGCGGCGGGCGGGCACGGGCGAGUGGCGGCUGGGCCGGCGGCGGCCUCGCGGCACGGGUGGAGGCGGAGACCAGCAACGGCCGGGCAGCCCUCCGGCGAGCGUGGGGCUUUUUUUUUAUUUUUUUCAAAAUUUUUUAGUCCCGGUUGGUAGUUGGUAACACCAAUUGGUACUAAAGGGGGCCUUUAGUUCCGGGUGGAUUACCCGGGACUAAAGACCCCCUCUUUUGUCUUGAAAAAUUUAUCCCGGAUAGCUUAGAGAGAUUUGAGCCUAUCCAACCGGGACUAAAGGUGAGUUUUCCAUCGGUGAAUGUCAGAGGAGGCUCAUCCUAAAUGGUGACACCAUGCUGAUCAUGCAAUUUAUCAUUAUUUUAUCGCCCUCAUGCAUGCUGCAUGAUAGAUAUUGGUACUGGGCAGCUUAGAUUCCUCAGCGCAUCAUGCUGCUCAGCCAUGGAGGUCAAGUCAUCACUAUUGUCCAUAUCACAACGCCUCUGCCUUCUCUUGUUGUCCUCCCCCUUCCCUCUACCUUGCACCUUCUUGUUUUGCUGAUCCUAUUGUCAGUUUGUUGCAGCCAUUUAUGGGCACCUCUUUCAUCCAUUGUCCACUGUUGUUGCCCGCUGCCUCAGUUCUUCUCUGACCAAAGCGGUCGUAUCGCGCUGGUCGGUAGGAAGCCAUCGUCUCGCAAAAGCAUAGUCGUCGUCGCCAAACCACAUCUAGCCGAUGCCGAACCAUACUUUUGCCAUCUUGUUUGCCAACUUGCCGCUAUGGAAGCCUCCAUGCAUCGCUCAUCGAGUCUAUCCUAUCUCUAUCAGCUCCUGUGGUAUCCUGUUUUGUUUUUGCCUCAACCACGAAGCCAUAGGUUGCUGGUGCUAAAUUGCAGGGCCAGCAACAGGUAUUUCCUCUCCCUGGCCUUGCGGCCAUGCUAUGUAUUUUUCUCUCUCAAAAAAAAUUCCAAUGAUUUAAUCCUAAUGUUCCGAUCAUGUGUGAUUGGUUUAUUAAUUAAAGUUAGAGUUAUACUUUAAGUAUAUUAUAUAAAAAUAAUAUAUAUAUAUAUAUGUAUAUAUAAAAGUUACCAUGCAAAGUACAACUUCCAAUAAGGUGGAGAGGUUCGGAUGGAAUUUUGAUUCAACUUACUCUAUUCUAGAUAUUAGAGUUGUACUAGCAAAAUACCGCUACGGUAAAAAAAUCAAUUGGGUUUUUCAAACUAAUAAUAUUUUUUAUUUCCAUCACUAAAUUUUUAUUCCACUUAUUGGAUGUCCACACAUUUUAAUAGAAAACUAAAAAAUGUUUGACUAAUUAUUUCCUUCACUCAAAUACCCAUUAAAUUAAAAUAUUUUUUUAUUCAAGCAAGAGAGUUAAAUCAGCCUCCGAUGGCCACCGAUGGGGGCUCUUUAGUCCCGGUGGGUAAUAUCAACUGGGACUAAAGAACCCCUUUAGCCCCGGUUGUAAAAGCUAGUGGCCCUCGGGAUUCUGGUGGAGUGUUUUGUCCCGGUUGCAACUACCAACCAGGACUAAAGGAGACCUUUAGUUCCGAUUGGUGUUUCCAACCUGGACAAAACGCUCCCCGCCUCCACACACACAAUGCGCGUGUCCCACUUUCUCUCCUCCCUCUACUUAAUUCCAGUGCCUAUGCCUCCUCUCCUUAAUUCCAACACCCACAUGCCUCCUCUCCUCCUCCCUUCGGUCCCUACCUCCUCUCCUCCCUCUCUUCCUCCGCCGGAUCCGGCCGGCCCCCACUCCCUCUCCCCAAGCUCCUCCCUCUCCCUCGGCCGCGCAGGUCAGGCGGUGCGGCCGGGGCCGGGGCGGCGUGGGCGGUCGGGGCUCGGGAGGAUGACAGGUGGUUAUGAGGAUGAUACCUGCAGACAAUACUUUUAAUCCCUCAAUUCUUACCGAGAAUUGCACUAUGAACUGCGCUUUCAUUUAUGCUACACCGCUCAGCUAUAAAAAAGGUGCAAAUCGACCAAAAUAAAUGAAUAAACCACACGGUUUAGACUGGUGGCAUCUAUAUGUUUGAUGAGUUUUGAAUCCCAACAGACCUCUGUUUGCUUAUCCAACAGGAGGAAAAAACUUUACUUACUAAAUCAGCUUUGCAUGCCAGGCUGCAAUUGUUAGAGCAGGAUUGGGUAAUUUGUGAACAUAAUUGAAUCAAAGUUUUGUCUCAGACUAGUAAUAGAAAAUGGUAAUGCUCCAUAGCUAGAACACGUUCCUACACUAGUUUAAAAAAUUCCCUGAAAUUGGGAACAAUGGUCAAGCCCAAACCAAACUUGGAACUUGGAAGGCCGCUGGCCAAUGUCAAAGUCAAAAAACAGAAGCAGACAGCGACGUCUCACCAGAUCACGAAUCAGCCUUAGGAUUAAUACGCUCUGUCUGGCAAUGCGGCAAUGCGCGUAGCUCCCCUGCUGACCAAGAAAAGCAAGCUCCGUCUGGCAGCAAGCUCUUCAAUACGCUCCAGCCCAGCUCUACCAUGGCAUUGGCAAUGCGCGUCGUGAGCUUGCUUCCUGCCACCAUCGCCGUGAUGAUCGCAGCAGCCUCCUGGGGAGCGCACGGCGGUGCCAGCGACGAGGCCAGCGCGCUGCUUGCUUUCAAGGCUGAGCUCGCCGGCAGCGGCUCCGGCAUGCUUGCAUCCUGGAAUGGCACCGCUGGCGUCUGCGGCUGGGAGGGCGUGGCGUGCACCGGCGGCCAGGUGGUGGCACUGAGCCUGCCCUCCUAUGGGCUCGCCGGAGCCCUCUCCCCGGCCAUUGGGAACCUCACUUUCCUGCGGACCCUGAACCUGAGUUCCAACUGGUUCCAGGGGGAGGUCCCAGCAAGCAUCGGCCGCCUAGCGCGUCUGCAGACGCUUGAUCUGAGCUACAAUGCGUUCUCUGGUACGCUUCCUUCCAACCUCAGUUCCUGUGUCAGCUUACUGCUGUUGAGGCUCAGCAGUAACCGGUUCCAUGGGCGUAUCCCUGUUGAGCUUGGAGACAAGCUAACAAGUCUUCAGAAGUUCUCACUGGGCAACAACAGCUUGACGGGUGCCAUACCAGGAUCACUAGGUAACCUGUCAUCCCUGAACUACCUUGAUCUGACAGAAAACCACCUCGAGGGUCCGAUCCCACAUGAACUUGGCAGCAUGGGCGGCCUGAAGGUCCUUUUACUCUAUGAGAACAGACUCUCCGGUGUGCUUCCACACUCCCUGUACAAUCUGUCCUCACUGAAAAAGUUGGAUGUAGGAAACAACACGCUGUCUGGAACCAUCCCUGCUGAUAUCGGCGAUAGGUUCGCCGGUAUGGAAGUUCUUGACUUUAGUAGCAACCGAUUAAGUGGAGCUAUCCCACCUUCGCUCGGCAACCUCUCUGCUCUCACAAAACUAAACCUUCCAGGAAAUGAUUUUAUUGGAUAUGUGCCUUCUGCUUUGGGGAAGUUGCAAAGUCUUACUGACCUGUUCUUGACUGACAACAGGCUAGAAGCAAACGACAGUCAAGGGUGGGAAUUCAUCACUUCACUGGCAAACUGCUCCCAGCUUCAGUAUCUUGUUCUCGGCAACAACUCUUUCAGCGGGCAACUGCCUAAUUCAGUCGCAAACCUGUCAUCAACUCUGCAACGUCUUUAUUUGGGAGACAAUAUGAUUUCUGGGAAUAUUCCAAUAAACAUCGGAAAUUUGGUUGGUCUUACAGUACUUGAGAUGGCAAAUACUUUAGUAUCUGGACAGAUUCCAGAGAGCAUUGGUCAGCUAAGAAACUUGGGUGUGUUAGGCCUUUACAACACUAGCUUGUCAGGCCUCAUACCUUCAUCACUAGGAAAUCUUACACAGUUGAAUAAUCUUUAUUUAUACUAUGGAAACUUAGAGGGGCCAAUUCCAUAAAACUUGGGGAACUUAAAGAAUGUGUUUGCCUUUGAUCUCUCAACAAAUCGACUCAAUGGUUCAAUUCCUAUAGAGGUUUUAAAACUUCCUCGACUUUCCUGGUACUUAGACUUAUCAUAUAAUUCAUUAUCCGGACCACUUCCAACUGAGGCUGGUACCAUGGUGAAUCUUAACGAACUGAUUCUGUCUGGAAACAAGUUGUCAGGCACCAUACCAGCUAGUGUUGGGAACUGUAUAUCGUUGGUAAAGCUGCUGCUCGAUAACAACUUAUUAGAAGGAAGCAUACCUCAAUCUCUGAAGAACUUAAAAGGUCUUGCAUUACUGAACCUAACAAUGAAUAAGCUAUCUGGUAGUAUUCCUGAUGCCCUUGCUAGCAUUGGCAACCUGCAACAACUGUAUCUUGCACACAACAACUUGUCAGGUUCCAUCCCCAAAGUUCUACAGAAUUUGACAUUGUUGGCAAAACUGGAUUUGUCCUUCAAUGAUCUGCAAGGCGAAGUGCCCAAAGGGGGUCCUUUUGCAAAUGCAAUUCGCUUGUCAAUUGAUGGAAAUGAUAAGCUUUGUGGCGGAAACCCUCAACUUCAUUUAGCUCCGUGCUCCACAGCUGCUGCGGGGAAGAAUAGAAGGCGAAUGUCAAGAUCACUUAUGGUCACCGUAGCGUCAAUCUGUGCAUUUCUAUUCUUAGGUUUAGUAGUUUGUCUUAUCCAUUUGAUCCACAAGAGGCUCAGACAAGGAAAGAAAAAUCAAGUCAUUCCCACAGCAAUUGAUGAACAGCACGAAAGGGUUUCAUAUCAAGCAUUAGCAAAUGGAACUGACCAUUUUUCGGAGGUUAAUCUGCUUGGACAAGGAAGCUAUGGUGCAGUUUAUAAGUGCACUUUACAUGACAAGGGAAUUACCGCAGCUGUAAAGGUAUUCAACGUCUGGCAAUCUGGGUCUACUAGAAGUUUUGUGGCUGAAUGUGAGGCACUGCGAAGGGUGCGCCACCGAUGUCUCAUAAAGAUCAUCACCUGUUGCUUAAGCAUUGAUCACCAAGGCCAAGAAUUCAAGGCACUGGUUUUUGAGUUCAUGCCCAAUGGUAACCUAAAUGAUUGGCUGCAUCCAGCAUCCAAAAUACAGAGUCUGAGCAAUACACUCAGCUUAGCUCAGAGACUAGACAUUGCGGUAGAUAUCAUGGAUGCUCUGGAUUAUCUUCACAAUCAGUGUCAACCGCCUAUUAUCCAUUGUGAUCUCAAACCAAGUAACAUCCUCCUUGCCGAAGAUAUGAGUGCUCGGGUUGGAGAUUUCGGCAUAUCAAAAAUCCUUCCUGACGACACUAGCAAAACUCUGCUGAAUUCAGUUAGCUUCACUGGACUAAGAGGUUCCAUUGGAUACGUCGCUCCAGGUAACAGAAACUAACACUGAUAUUGCUAUGUUCAGUUUUUAACUUCCAUUUUGCCAAGUCCAGUUAUCUCGGCAUGAAUCGUUCGUAAGUAGCUUGCCAUGAAUCCACUGACCAAAUAGUUUCUGAAAUCUGAAUUGACUGCAGAGUACGGCGAGGGUCGCGCCGUCUCAACUCUUGGAGAUGUUUACAGCCUCGGCAUACUGUUGCUUGAGAUGUUCACCGGGAUGAGCCCUACUGACGACAUGUUCAAAGGCUCCUUGGACCUUCAUAAGUUCGCCGAGGCCGCUCUCCCCGACAGAGCCUUGAAGGUAGCCGACCCGGCAAUCUGGCUUCAUGAAGAAGCAAAGGGGGAAGACCCGGCCACGGUGAGAAGCAGAAGCGAGAGGUGCUUGGCUUCAGUGGUCGGGCUUGGCGUGUCCUGCUCAAAGCAGCUGCCAAGGGAGCGGACGGCGAUGCGGGAUGCUGCCGCUGAGAUGCGUGCGAUCAGAGAUGCCUUCCUGGUUCAAUGUGCAACAGAGACUUGGCCUGCAGUCGGCACCAGCGGCCUUGGAAGCACAGACACUUGAAUGGUGGACGGAGCUACGGUCUCUUGACGCACCAAGGAGCCACCGGACUAGCUGCUCUGCAACUAACAGAGUGGAGAAAGCGCCACUUAAU
RNAcentral lists this long non-coding RNA (62578 nucleotides) under Setaria italica (foxtail millet). Its description in RNAcentral is "long non-coding RNA (SITA_LNC003513)". Lineage: Eukaryota; Viridiplantae; Streptophyta; Magnoliopsida; Poales; Poaceae. The record is from RNAcentral.